UGGAUUCUCACCUAAAUGGGAAGAGUCACUCGGAUCAGAUCAAGGACCAGUUAAGAUUAUGGUGUGGGGCAUGUAAUGUAACCUGCAAGAGUGAGCGCAACAUGGCCUUUCAUCUGAAUGGGAGGAAGCACUUAGAGAAGAAGGGGAAUACCUGAUUUGCUCUUCAGAUUAUUGAUACUUACAAAUGGUUUUAGUUAGAAGCAUACAGACCAGUGGGUGGUGCUCACAGAUGCCUCUAUUUUGUUGUAUGAAGUAAAAACAGUAUUUCCAUGUCCAGAAAUCAACCACUUGUUUAGUGCAUGCAUGGCUGGUUCAAAAUUAAACCUAAUUGUGAAUGACUAGGAGCAGGGAGGGAAAAAUUGAAGUGAAGAAUGUAAGAUUAUGGCUUCAUUUUUAUUUUUUCCUCUUCUGAAAAUUGUAAGAUUGUGUUAGGAGGAGCUGGAAUGGGUUCAAAUCAGGAAUUAAGACCCAGUUCCAAGACAUGGAAAGUGUCUUUAGAUUAUGUUAAGUUAUUUCCAUUUUUUUUUCUUUAUUUACGGUAAGAGGGAGCAUAAGGAACGAAAAUGAAUAUUUUUUUUUUUUCGAAUAAAAAUGAAUUUGAUAAUUUCAAUUAUUGUGUUUGGAUGUAUUUCGGAAUGUAAGAUUAAAAUAAUUAUUUGUUUUCAUUUUAGUGUUUGAUAAUAAUGAAAGUAUGAAUUAAAAAAUAAAUUGAUAAUAAUAUUCUUAUAUUUAAUUUAAAAUAUAUAUAUAUUUUUUAUUUUAGAAGAAUAUGGGUUAAAAGUUUUUUUUUUUUUUUAAAUAAUAAGCUUAAGAAAAAUAAUUUUUACUCAAUAAAUAAAAUUAAUCAUACAAAGUCAUAAAAACCAAACCAAAAUAUAAGGGUAAAAUAAUAAUUUUAAACUAUUCAUUUAAGUUAUCCAAAUGCAUUCCGACUCUUCAUUCUCUUAUACCAAAUACCGUCUUUAAGUAUUUGUCAAACUUAUUUUUUUGCAAAAUAUCAAUAUUUUACUAAUAUUUUUAUCGAUUAUUUGCCGAUAUUUAUCGCCACGUCACCAAUUCUUUGAGUUUGACUUUCAAAAUUUUGAAAUGAUCUUUGAAGUCCAGUUCAGCCCAAAUCACUACACCCAUGAACUCAUCUACAAAAGGGAACGGCUGGGCCACCACACUAAUAUGGCCCAUACAUGGGACCUCGUAAAAGAAUACCCAUCUUCAAAAAUAGGGACCAUAUUAAAUUAUUAAUGUAGCUAUAGGAAGCAUUUGAGGACAAGGGUUAUGAUUUUUCCCUUUUCUUUUUCUCCUUAAUUUUCACAUCACCCAACAACACCACUCUUAAUUCACACAAAUUUGAAGGUUUGGAAUGAGACUUCUUCAUAAUUAUAUUGUAAUUAUGUUAUAAUAACCAUGUCGUUUUUGGAUUUAUUUAUUCAGUCCAUCUAAAUCUUUUGUUUAUUCGCGUCAAAACAAUAUAUUUAUAAUCGAAUCCAUUUAUGACAUGUUCAUCUUUUAUAAAUUCAUUAAUUUUAUAUAUUUAAAAUUUAUAAAAGUUAAAUAUAUUUUUUCAAUUAUGAAUAUCAUAUUACUAAAAUAUUAAAUAACUAAUUAACUUGAAAUGUUUUAUAUUUCAUUAAUUAUUUUAUAAUUACAAAAUUAAGUGAAAUAAUAAAUAGGUUAAAAUAUAUAUUUUAUUUUAGUUAAAAAUUAUAAAUUGUUAUUGAGACACAUAACUACUAAAAUUCUACCCAUUUGACUAUCAAACAAACAACUUAAGUUUUUAGUCAUAAUUUAAGCUUAUGAUAAACUCUAUUUACAAAAAUUAGAAACCAAAAUCAAAUUCUUCCUAGACUCAAAAAUAUAAAGACAAUCUUUUAACUUUAGAAGAGAACUAUCAUCUAAGAUAAGGGUAACACAUCCCAUUGCCUGUACAACAAUUCUUGCUUCAAAAGCUAAUGUUAGGUACAUAUCCCUAUCAUUCAACCUUUCCCUUAGCUAAAACCCCUAUAAAGAAUUAUAAACAUGAUCAAUGGCUCCAAAAUUUAUCCACCAAGAGUUAGUGGAAUCUAAUACUAAACAUGAUUCAACUAAAAGAGAAUGAUGCAUACCUGACUGUCUCUUUAAGAACUAAGGGCAUUCCUUUUUCUAAUGGCCUUUUUUACCACAAAGGAAACAUUUGUCAUGACCCUUACUCUUCUUCUUCUUCUCUUGCCCUUGAACUUUCCCUUCUGUUUGGUGAAUUCUAUAAUGUUCUUAUUUUGGUUAGAAGAACCUAAAGAACACUUAACUGCCAUAUAAAUACCUCUCUGAUCCUUGAGAAUUCCCUCAAUCAUUUUGUGUUCUCUCAUCAGUUCGGUUAUAGUUUAAGAAAAAAAUUGUUUUUUUUAUGUGACUAAACUUGGAAUGAAUGUCCAAGUUGCAUACAUACUCGGGUUGAGAUCAAGUCAUAAUGUAGUUUAAGAAAAAUAUUUUUUAUUUUUUAUUUUUAUUUUUUAUCUGAUUGAACUUGGAAUGAAUUUCUAAGCUACUUACGUAUCCAGGAUGGGAUCAAGUUCUAACAUAGUCACAAUGCAGUUCAAGAAUUAUUUUUUUUUCUUUUUUUGUGCUCCAACUUUUGCCAAGACUAAAGAUCUUAAUUUUGCGAGCAUGUCCUAACUUUUGCCUAGGUCGCCUUUCCAAGUUUUCAAUUUAGCAAACUAGGUUUUUUUUUUUCUUUUUAGUUCUCUAACUUUUGCCAAGACUAAAGAUUUUAAUCUUGUAAGCAUGUCAUAACUUUUACAUAAGUCGAAUUUUUAGGUUUUCAUAGUGCUGGAUUUUUUUUUUGUUUUUUGUUUUUUUUUUGUGUCGUAGUCAAUUUAAGCUCAUAUGGGUUGGAAGCGAUGUGUAGUUUGUUGGGAUUGAGCCCUUAAAAGCAAGACAUGAUGUAAUAAAGUUAAACUUAACUAUCCCCUUACUAUCCUUUUGGUGUAUCAACAUUGAUUUAAACAUUCAACCCAUAUCUCUUACAUUGUAUAUGAUUUAGAAGCAUUAGGAGUUGUACAGAAGAUACAAGUUAUGUGUUCUUUGUAAGUAGGUGAGUUAUCCAUAGUCAUUUCAUGGAUUUGGGCAAUCUAGUAGAGACUAUAGUGCACCACCUCCUAAUUGAAGGGAUGACUUGUCUUGGCCGUUGGGAUGAGUUUCCUAUGGUGAGCGUACUAGUGUAUAUGAUGCACAUUGGAUAGGACCUAUGACAAAUCAUGAUGCAAGGCUAUCAAUUGUCAUGAUUCACCAAGUUACUAUACUACAUGGACUCUCAACCUUGAGAGGACAUUGAACCUGUGUCAAAAUCAAUAGAAAGUUUUGACCUAUGGGCGAGACCCUAAAGUAGUCAUAUAUCCUUAUGAAUUAGGUCAUUGUUGAUGGAGGCUAGUGAUAAUAGGCAUUCUCAAUAGAGGCACCAUGAUAUGUCAUGCGAUUGAGAUGGUGUGUCCCUUUGGGUGAUCCAAGGAACAUGUGAUCAUGAAAUUUGUGGCCACAGUAAUUCCUUUAGUGGAAUUUGACAUAUGCUCAAGGAUUUGAGAGAUAAUAUUGAUAGGUGAUAACACUAUCUUGUUAGAUUAUAGACACCAGUUUCAUGGGGAAUCUGCAUGUAGUGGAUAGUAGGUCAUGAAUGCGAGCUUUGUCUCGUUGUUAUUUACAUAAGGUACUGGAGUGUAGUUGAUUCUCUUUAGUAGAAUGUUAAAUCAACUUCAAAAUUGGAUUAUGAGGGAGCCAGUACUCCUAUGGGUCUCAAUGGUCCCCACUCUAAGCUUAUAUACCAUGAUGACAUAAUUUAUGAGGGUUGGAUUGGCUUUAGGUUCAUUCUUAUGCAUAAGGGCAUUUUGGUAAUUACUCAAGGUUGCAUAGGGGAUAAUAAAUAAGGUCUCUAGAUUGGACUAAUUGAUUAAUUAGAUGGCCUUAUGUGGUUAAUUAAUCAAUUAAGACAUGUUAGGGCUAGAUUAAGUGACUCAAGCCUUGAUGGGUUCAAGUCACUUAAGCCUAGUGGGUAACCGUAUAAAUACCCCCUUAUGGGUUAGGGUUUUCUAAUGACUUUUAGUUAGUCAUCUUCCACUUUUAGAAAAAUAGAGAGAGUCAAAGCUUCCUCCUUUCCACUGCCCACACUUUGGAAUGCCAAGAUCGUGGAUCGAGUCAUCGAACGAAAGAUCUUGGGUGUAUGAGACCUUCGAACUCUUUAGGCUUCUUCUUCGUUGGAUGGAUUUUGAUCUAGGAACAUCUAGAUCACAUGUAUGUGUUAUAAAAUUUGGUUAAUUCAACCUAAGGUAAUCAUCCUAGAGAAGGGGCGAAUAGGGUGAUGAUCUUUUUUUGAAAAUUUAAAUUAUGUGAAUGCAAGAGACAAUUAUAUGCAAAAUAUAUAGCAAAACCAUAUAAAAACAAUUGCAUAUAAAGUAAAAGGGUAAGGAAGAGAGAAAAUAAACACAAGAUUUUUAUAGCGAUUCAGUGCAACCCGACCUUCAUCCAUUCUCCUCUAGCUUCAAUCCCAAACUUGAGGUUCCACUAAUUUAAGGCUUCCAACCCAAGCCUUCAAGCAAUACAAUCGGAUUAUGGUUCCAAUCAAACCUCUUGAAAUUUUAGUUCUAAGCACAUUUUACAAUCUUCAAGAGAUACCUCACUCUUAAACAACUCCUUAAGUGAUACCCCACACUUGAGAAUCCCUAAGUGAUACCUCACACUUAGAUUUUUCAUCUCAAAGAUUUAUAAAUGAAGAUAGGAAAUUGUUAGCCCAAGGGCUCUCCUAAUCGGGUUUUGAUGAUAAAAAAUCAUGGUUAAAUGACUAAUUGGUUUAAUGGUUAAGAAUCUCAGGCAUAAACUUGAAAAUUCAUCAAAAGACCAAAUGGAUACAAGAUCGAGACGUUUGGAAGACUUGUGAUCAUAGGAAACUAAUGUAAGAUGAAUGCAUGAGUACACUUAGGAUUUUCAUACCGUUUCAUGCAAUUUAGAAAACUCGGUUUAUUCUUUAAAACUUCAAUUUCAUUAAAACUUGAGUUUUAACAAAUGUACCUUAGGCAAAAUGUUUUAAAAUUGGCAUAAUAAUUCACCUAAAAACCUUGCUUAAGUGUUAGAAAAGAAAGGAAUUGAAAAAUAUAGGUUUUCGGGGCCAAAAGGCUCAACCGAUCGAGGCUAUGACCAACCUGCUCAACCGGUUGGGGAAUCGGUCGACCGGUUGCCCCUGUCCGGUCGAGGUUCGAUAGAGGGAUGCACAAAAUUUUCUUUCUCUCCCAGUAGCCUUCUCUUCUCGGUCGAGGUCUGGUUGAGGACCGAUCAAGGUUCGAUCGAGGCAACGGUAACCUGUCAAGCAUUAAAUGUUCCAACGGCUAGUGAACCGGUCAACCCCUAGCUCGACCAGUUGAGGUUACCUUUUGCUGUUUUUGGCUCCCGAGCUUAGAAACCUAUAAAUUGAGAGCUCCACUUUAUUUAUUGACGAGAGAACACUUGCAAUCAAUUGUCUACCUACCUGUUCUUGAUCAAAAAACUCUCAUUUCUUUCUUUGUGCAUUAAAUCAUCACUUGCAUAUCCUUUAGUGCACUCUUAUGUGUCAUCCUAGCUUUGUCUUAUAUUUGAGCUAUCCUUAAGCUAGGUUGAGGGAUUCAUUCUUGUAAAAACUGAGUGUCAAAGCCUUCAAGAGGUUUAAAUCUUGAAGAGAUUGUGUAAGAGCCCAUUGGAGCCAGAAUCCAAGUGUAAGAAGAUUGGAAGCUUGGUUGAAGCUUCAAGUUAGUGGAACCCUCACUCGGUUAAAAGAUUGAGGAGAGUGGAUGUAGGGAAGGAAGUGUCGAACCACUAUAAAACCCAAGUUUGAAUUCUCUAACUCUAUCUCUUUAUUUUGCUUAUAUUGUGCUUGAACUCGUUGUGAUUGAAAAGAAUUUAAAAAACCCAAUUCAUCUCCCUCCCCCCUUUUAGGUGUUUUUCUUAAUUAAGCAUAGCAUUUAUUUUCUCAAUUGGUAUCAGAACUAGACCUCUUGUUUUUUUUUUUUUUUUAAAAAAAAAAAUUAAUCGUCUAAGAGGAUAUGACUAUUGCAUCAAGCUCAUCUCAAGCUAAAAUUUUUUCAAAACAUAGAGCUUCAUUCUUUACGGGAUCCGACUAUCCCUAUUGGAAAACUAGAAUGACUUGGUACUUACAAUCUACUGAUUUAGAUGUAUGAGACGUCAUUGAAGAUGGCCUAACUUUUCCCACUAAACUAGUUGAUGGAGUUUUGGUUCCAAAACCCAAGCAAGAAUGGAAUGAGCUUGAUAGAAAAAACUUUCAAUUAAAUGCUAAAGUCGUUUUUACUUUGCAAUGUGCUAUGGAUAGAAAUGAAUAUAAUAGAAUAUGUCAAUGCAAAUCGGCUAAAGAAAUUUAGAGGUUGCUUGAAAUAACUCAUGAAGGAACUAAUCAAGUGAAAGAGUCAAAAAUUAAUUUACUUGUUCAUAACUAUGAAUUGUUUUCAAUGAAAAAAAAUGAUACUAUUGUUGAGAUGAUUACUAGGUUCACCGACAUUGUCAAUGGUCUUGAAGCUUUGGGAAAAACCUACAAGGAAUCCGAGAAGGUGAUGAAGAUAUUGAGGUCUUUCCCAUCAAAGUGGCAUACCAAGGUCACUGCAAUUCAAGGAGCAAAAGACUUGACUAAGCUACCUAUGGAAGAGCUCAUAGGGUCAUUAAUGACAUAUGAGAUCAAUUUGACAAAGAAGCUACAAGAGGGUAAAGACAAAAAGAAGAAGAACAUAACCCUCAAAGCUAUAACCAAGGAAGAAGAAGAUGUUGAAGAAGAAAAACCAAGUGAUGAAGAUGAUGAUUUAGCCCUCAUCACAAGAAAGCUCAACAAAUACAUGAGAGGUGAAAGGUUUAGAGGAAGAAAGUUCACCUCUAGAAGAGAUCCUUCUAAAAAGGAAUCUUCAUCCCAUGGUGACAAGGAGAAAUGAGAAGAUAAAAGAGAUUUGAUAUGCUUCAAAUGCAAAAAACUGGGACACAUUAAAUAUGAUUGUCCACUCUACAAGAGUGAAGCCAAGAGAAGAAUGAAGAAGGCAAUGAUGGCCACUUGGAGCGAAAGUGAAGAAUCCUCCGAAGAAAAAAAGGAGAAGGAAGUAACAAACAUGUGCUUCAUGGCAAUAGAUGAUCUUGAUGAGGUAAACUCUAACUUUAGUGAUGAAGAUAUGUAUGAUGUUUUUGAAGAAUUAUAUGAGGAUUUUGAAAAACUUAGUUUGAAAAAUAAUUCUCUUAAAAAUAAAAUUCAAGAACUUGAAAAAGAACUUGAAGAAGUAAAAGAAAAAGUUUCAAUUGUUGAAAUAUCUAAAACUCAUCUUGAAAAAGAAAAUAAGAUUUUGAGAAGUGAAAAUGAGAUUUUGAAAAAGAAAAAUGAAUGGUUGACCUCCUCUCUUUCAAUUUUCUCUUGUGGAAAAAAAUAUUUUGAAAUGAUCUUAGUUAGCCAAAAAUGUAUUUUUGACAAACAAGGGUUAGGAUUCAAAUCUUCAAAAAAUCAAAAGUAUUUUAAAAACUACUUUGUAAAAGAAUCCGCAAGUGUAAGUCAUUCUACCACUUGCAACUUUUGUAGAAGAGGAGGAGACAUUAGUAGUACAUGUCUCUUAAGAAAUGGUUCUCAAAAGAAUUCAAAUGCUAAAGCUAAAAAGGUUUGGGUUGAGAAAUCCAAAGUCACUAACCCUCAAGGACCCAAAAAGAUAUUGGUACCUAAAUCAACUUAAAUUUUAUUUUGUAGGGUUCAAAGAAGGAUAAGUGGUUCUUGGAUAGUGGAUGCUCAAGACACAUGACCGGGGAUGAAUCCAAGUUUGUUUUCCUUACAAAGAGAAAGGGAGGAUAGGUUACCUUUGGAGACAAUGCAAAAGGAAGGAUCAUUGGUCAAGGCAACAUUGGUAAUGACACAUCCUCUCUUAUUGAAAGUGUUUUAUUAGUGGAUGGUUUAAAACAUAAUCUUUUGAACAUAAUUUAACUUUGUGACAAAGGUUUUAAAGUGAUUUUUGAAGCAUUUCAUUGCAUUAUCAAAGAUAUUCAAAAUGAUAAAACCAUCUUCAUGGGCCAUAGAUGUGAUAAUUUUUAUGCUAUAAAUAUUUCAAAUAUGAUGGCCAUGGUAAAUGUUUUUCAAGCAUGCAUGAUCAAAGUUGGUUGUAGCAUAGGAGGUUGGGACAUGCUAACAUGGACCUCAUUUCCCAACUCAACAAAGAAGCACUUGUUAGAGGCCUUCCCAAAAGAAAUUUUCAAAAAGACAAAGUUUGUGAAGCUUGUCAAAUGAGAAAGCAAAUCAAAAACUCUUUUAAAAACAAAAAUUUCAUUUCAAUAACUAGGCCUGCAUAUGGAUUUAUUUGGUCCCUCUAGGACACCAAACCUUGGAGGAAAAUCUUAUGCAUUUGUUAUUGUGGAUGACUUCUCUAGAUACACUUGGGUCUUAUUUUUAAGUCAAAAGAAUGAAGUCUUUUUUGAGUUUUCAAAGUUUUGCAACAAGGUUCAAAAUGAAAAAGGUUUUACAAUUUCUUGUAUAAGAAGUGAUCAUGGAGGAGAGUUUGAAAAUAUUGAUUUUGAAGACUAUUGCAAUGAGCAUGGUAUUAACCACAAAUUUUUGGCUCCUAGAACUCCUCAACAAAAUGGGGUAGUUGAAAGGAAAAAUAGAACUCUUCAAGAAAUGGCUAGAACCAUGCUAAAUGAAAACAAUUUACCAAAAUACUUUUGGGCCGAAGCAAUUAACACUUCUUGUUAUGUUUUAAAUAGAAUUUUAUUGAGGCCUAUUCUUAAAAAAACUCCCUAUAAGCUUCGGAAAAACAAGAAACCCAACAUUAGCUAUUUCAAAGUCUUUGGGUGCAAAUGCUUUAUAUUAAAAACCAAAGACAAUCUUGAAAAUUUUGAUGCAAAAUCGGAUGUUGGAAUUUUUCUUGGUUACUCAACUUUAAGUAAAGCCUUUAGAGUUUUUAACAAAAGAACCAUGGUUGUUGAGGAGUCCAUCCAUGUUAUUUUUUAUGAAUCUGACAAUUCUCUCCAAGAAAGAGAGAGCUUUGAUGAUGAUUUAGGCUUGGAGACCUCCAUGGGAAAAUUACAAAUUGAAGAUAGAAGGCAACAAGAAGAAGUUGUAGAGGAUCCCAAGAAAGAAGAAUCACCUUUGGCACUACCUCCUCCUCAACAAGUGCAAAGUGAAUCAAGCUAAAACCUUCCUAAAGAUUAGAAGUUUGUCAUCAACCACCCACAAAAUCAAAUUAUAGGUAAUCCAUCUAGUGGGGUAAGAACUAGAUCAUCUCUUAGAAACAUUUGCAAUAAUCUUGCUUUUAUCUCUCAAAUUGAACCUAAAAAUAUAAAUGAUACUCUAGUUGACGAAAAUUGGAUGAUUGCUAUGCAAGAAGAGUUAAAUCAAUUUGAAAGAAGUGAAGUAUGGGAAUUAGUGCCAAGACCUCAAAAUCAAAGUGUUAUUGGAACUAGAUGGGUCUUUAGAAAUAAAAUGGAUGAAAAUGGCAUAAUUAUAAGGAAUAAAGUAAGAUUGGUAGCCCAAGGUUUUAAUCAAGAAGAAGGGAUAGAUUAUGAAGAAACCUUUGCUCUCGUAGCUAGAUUGGAAGCCAUUAGGAUGCUACUUGCCUUUGCACGUUUUAAAGACUUUCUUUUAUAUCAAAUGGAUGUGAAAAGUGCUUUCUUAAAUGGCUUUAUAAAUGAAGAGGUAUAUGUUGAACAACCACCCGGUUUUCAAAGUUUUAACUUUCCUAAUCAUGUUUUUAAACUUAAAAAUGCACUUUAUGGUUUGAAACAAGCACUUAGAGCAUGGUAUGAAAGAUUGAGUAAAUUUCUUUUGAAAAAGGGUUUUAAAAUGGGAAAAAUUGACACAACUCUUUUCAUAAAAAUAAAGAAAAUGACAUGCUCUUAGUGCAAAUAUAUGUUGAUGAUAUCAUUUUUGGAGCUACUAAUGUCUCUCUUUGUGAAGAAUUUUCUAAAUGCAUGCAUAGUGAGUUCGAAAUGAGCAUGAUGAGAAAACUUAACUUCUUCCUUGGACUUCAAAUCAAGCAACUAAAGGAAGGAACCUUCAUCAAUCAAGCAAAGUAUAUAAGAGAUCUCCUCAAAAGGUUCAAUAUGGAGGAAGCGAAAACAAUGAAGACUCCAAUGAGUUCAUCCAUCAAGCUUGACAAGGAUGAGAAAGGUAAGUCCGUUAACUCAACUAUGUAUAAAGGCAUGAUAGGUUUUUUGCUAUAUUUGACCGCUAGUAGACCUGACAUCAUGUAUAGUGUAUGCUCGUGCGCUAGAUUUCAAUCUUGUCCUAAAGAAUCUCACUUAAGUGCCGUAAAAUGAAUUCUUAGAUAUUUAAAAGAGACAAUGGACAUAGGCCUAUGGUAUCCUAAGAGUGAUAACUUUGAAUUAAUUGGAUUCUUAGAUGCCAACUUUGCCAAUUGUAAAGUUGAAAGGAAAAGCACUAGUGGCACUUGUCAUUUCCUAGGACACUCACUUGUUUCAUGGCAUAGUAAUAAGCAAAAUUCGGUAGCCUUGUCAAAGGCGGAAGCAGAAUACAUAGCAGCUGGUUUAUGUUGUGCACAAAUCCUUUGGAUGAAACAAACACUUAGUGAUUUCAAUUUGAUUUUUGAGCAUGUUCCUAUUAAACGUGAUAACAUUAGUGCCAUAAAUAUUUCAAAAAAUUUGAUGCAACACUCUAGGACUAAGCAUAUAGAGAUUAGACACCAUUUUCUUAGAAAUCAUUUACAAAAAGGUGACAUUACACUUGAAUUUGUAAGCACAAAAGAUCAACUUGCCGAUAUUUUUACAAAACCUCUAAGUGAAGAGCAAUUUUUUUAUAUUAGAAGACAACUAGGGGUGAUUUCUUUAUAAUCAAAUGAUUACUUGAUGAAUUCUUGAUUGAAUAUACCUUAUGAUUGCGUGAAUUUCACAUCAUAUGCAUCAUAUAGAAAUAAUCUUAGGAAAAAGGUCAAAUUUUGACCAAAAAUCAAAAUUCCCUUGGCAUUGGAUAUCAAAAAUUGGGGAUUUCAACUGAAAAGGGCAAGGGAAGGAUCACGAGACAAGCAAAAGCCAAAAAAUUAGAGCGUUGACCAUUGACCAUUGACCAUUGACCAAGCGGUUCGUCGGGGCUGGGAAUUUAAAGAGACCCCCGCGCUUUAUUUUUUUCACUAUUCCCCUCAAUUCCUUGAAAACUCUUCACAUACCUGCUUCCAGAGACCACUUUGGGUUGAAUCUUGGACCAUUUGAAGGGCUUGGAGUUGUUUUUGGGACGUUUUUAAGACUAGGGUUUCAAUCUGAAACCUAAGGUUUCCAUUUUUAGGAGCAAUUCCUCUCAGACCACGUGCAUCAGCCAGGCUCAACUCCUUCUCCUUGCGCUUAGGGCUUCCGGUUGGAUUUCAUUCUCUCUUGUUUGGUUUCAUUCUCUCUUCAAACUUCUUUUUCUUCAUUUUCCGUUCUUUGGAUGGCGCCUAGGAGAGAGACAACUACCUCUAGGGCUCAGGGCAAGCGCCCUGCUGAGCCAUCUCAACCUGAGCAGAUGGAGGCUCACCGAAAGGCGAGGUAUGACACGACCCUCUGUGGACCCGCAUUUUUCACGUGCGUCCCCACUCGAUCGGCGAGACUCGCUUUUUAUUUGUGAAAAAUUGAUCUUUAAAAAAAAAAAAGUUGGAGUCGCCACCUAUUUUAUUUUUAUUUUGAAGGGAAAAUAAAACAAGAAAGAAAAACCCUAAAAAGUGACUCCAUGGUUUUGGAAAAAGCAUGUCUUUGAGAAACCCGAGUCUAAGUCCGGGGAUCAGGUUACUUAUUGGGAAGGUACCUCUAGGAGGUAGCACCCCUCUAAGCCCUAAAAAGGUCUCUACUGACUAAGUUAAGGGAAGCGUGGCAAUUAAAUGGUUGAUCAUGGAUACCUAAGUAGGCUAGGUGAUUCCAAAAACAUAACAUAUCAAACAAGAUCAAAUCACAAUUAAGGAGAGUUAAAAAUGCGUACCUGGACGGCUUCCCAAACGCUAUCAUAAAACAUAAGAGAUUAGUUUGGAGAUACAUCACACAACAUUUGUUUUACUCAAGCAAAUCAGGCAUAUAUCAAGACAUUCAAGAAUCACGUCAAAUAUGGAUAUGGUCAUCAAUGACAUACAAGUCCAUAGAAUUCUCGAAAAAAGGAUGAAAAUGAGCGUACCUGGAUAGCAAGCUAGAGCGCCUUUAUGGGAAACAAGGUUAACCCAAUAACAAAUUCAAGCAUAUCUCCAAGAAGAAUCAAAAUCAAUUGAAUACCAAAAAAUCAUCUUUAAAAUCAAUAUUAGUGAAGAUAUUAGGAAUGUAGGACCCCCCACCAAAGUCCAUAUUACUUUUGCACGAAUUGAUUCAAUGAAUUCCAUUAUUUGGAAUCGUGAAGCUUAUUCAUGCUUGUCAAAAAUCGAGAAAAUCAUAAAAUAGUUGAAGAUGAUGAAAAUGCAUGCCGGAAGGGAAAAUGGCAGCAAAUAGUAUGUUAAAAUUUGGAUUUUAUGCCUAGAGACUUCUCAGGAAUUUUAAAUAAAACUAGAAUUAUUUUUUACGGGAAAAGAUUUUGAAAUCCAGAUUUAAAAUGUGUAAGAUAACAAAAAGAAUAAGGAGAAACAUUAGGAGUAUGGUGUGUGGCAAGGUGACCACUAUAUGAGUGAGGUCUGGAGGUGCACUUGAGACUAAAUGGUUGAAACAGAUUGCAUAGGGAGCAUUCUGUACACCACUAGUUGUCUAGAAAGAAACUGAAUGUGUUCGUUUCCGAGCCCAUGUUCACCGGAGUUUAGGGUGCCACCUCAUUUAAAAAAAAGGGCUUCAAUACAACUCUAGUUUCUCAAGAUCACAAUCUGAAUUAUCAACAGAAGCUUCUGGUGAAGACAUAAUGCUCAAUUUCAGAUUAAAUUUCCUGUUCUAUAACUCGUUUUCUCUGAAUUUUCCUUUAAUGUCUGUGCUUUCUGAUCAUAUAAGUUGCCCGUCUGGUUCCUUGUUUGAGACUCUGCCGAACCUGGAAUAAUGCUUCUAGGUCUAGCUGAGGGGACCUACACCCCUUUUCAUGGAACCUGAGGCAUGCGUUAAUUCGAAACUCUAUUACUUUGCCUUCCAUUGCUUUAAGUCUUUUAGCCAUCUCAGCCACAAAUCUGGAGAUUCAUUUAUCUUUCUUUAAUAUUCAAGCCAAAUGUCAAUCCAGUCCGCUUAAACCCCGAUUUGAAUGAUUUUGAACCCUCUUUUUGCGCUCUUGAUGUUUUUCAUUUCAACUACAAUGACAAACCACCCUUCGAAAAAAGAAGAAAUCUGGACCAAAUCCUAAACUUUUAAUUCACAACUUCUUGAGCCUGACUCUGAGUCGACACAAUUGAAUCACCUUGGAUAAGAGUGCUUCUAAAAAUCCUCCAGAAUGUAGGCACAAGUGCAGCGUUCGUUAAUAAUGUCCAUGGCAUGUCACAAAGGAAAGCUUCUUUUUUUAUAAUCAUCAACGCAAAUUGACUCUUAAUGGACCCCAUUGCCAGCGUCACAUCAAAGACUGGACAGAUAGGGAGAUUCACAAUUUCGAUAGCUAUCUUUGCAUUAUUUGGGCAGGGCAACCAUGUUAUGGAUAUAUAGCUCGAAGGUGACUUGCGUUUUGUUCUGUAUCAUCAGUAGCAGCCUCAAACCCGCCAUAGGUUUGAGUGGUAUUAAAAGACUCAACAUGAUCAGCUGUAGGUGAUCGAGCAGCCAAUUCAUCAUUGAGCAAAUCAAUAAAAGCUUGGAUAUCGUUGCCGAGUGGCCUAAAAUCAUUAGAUAAAUCAUUAAAGUCAUUAAGUAUAUUACUGAUCUCCAUGAAAACCCUCCUCCUUGCUUCUGUAGAGCGAACACAAGCUGCCACUAAAAUUGGUUAGCCCGGAUUGCUAAUUUAUGCAUCCAAUCACCAUCGAUUUCUCUUGUCCUUUUUGGAACUUCUGGAAUAUGGAUGAAACCUGUGAAGAAUGUGGUGGAAUUGCGGUCUGCAAGCACGAAGUUUCCAGUUACUUGAAAUGCUUCGAAAUCAUGGUUCCAGUUUACAUCUACAGGCAUUGGCUCAAGUAAGUUCGUAUCAGCUUGGGUGGCUUUCGAUUCCAAAAGCUCUAACAACAACAUGAUUCUCAAAUAUCCGAACAGCAAUGUCCAAAAUUGAAUCAAGAAAAUUCUUUAGCAGCAGUAUGUGUUGUCCCUGCUGGAGCCAUCACAGGAGCAACUAAGCUAACUGCCAAAAAGGUUCUAGCCAGUGAGAUCCCAUUCUGACGUUUCGGUUUUGGUGACUGAUAGCUUUCUAAUUGUCCCUGCAAAUAAUGUAAACCAAUAGUUCCAUUGAAUGGAUUGUCAUCCAGAGCAAGGAUCCGAAUACUUGUAAGGCCAUCAACGAAAUCAGCGAGGGUGGUGUCGACUUCGUUGUAAUCGAAGAAGGCGAGUUGCAAUUCAGACAAUCUGCGAGAAGAAGGCAAUUUUCCAUUGAAGUGGUUCAUCUGAAACCCCAAAUUGCAGAGCAUUGAAAGCUGGUUGAAGUUUUGAGGGAGAGGUCCCUUUAAUCCCAAUCCCUUAACUUGAAUCUGUGUAACUCUGUCACCACUAUAAAAUACACGAGGCCACAAAUUUGACUCCACCCGUUGGCUCCUUUCCUUCAUUCAUUCGCUUUAACAAGUCACAUUUAAUUCCAAAGAAUAUUAUAUAAUCUUCAAGUAUGUUCAAAUCAGAGGGCUCUAGUCCGUUAACCUUUACACUCUCUAGCAGGUUCUGUUCUUGUCUCUUCCUAUUAUACAGAAGUUCAAGCAAGUUUCAUAAAGCCUGAAUUUCUACACGUAGCCACUACUGGGGUCAGGUUUAUCCAAGUGUGCUGCUCCAACAGAAUUAUCGAUGUGUCAGUUUCUCUAAAAAUCACCUUGUGAAUCAAUCCACAAUACCGAGGCAUCCCAUCAUCAGAACUUCCUAAGCUUUCAGCAAGUAGGCAAGCAUUUAUGCUUGAGUCAACUCUACCGAUGACAACAAACCCAUCCAAAUCAAACUUCAUAGCUGUUUCUUCUUUUCCAUUAAUAUCAACUGGUAUCCUUUCUAAAAGAAUGCUUUUCUUAUGACGACAUGACAGUAAAACCCUUUUGCGAGAAUGGCUCAGAGUUUUGAUCAUCAUCUGAUUCUAUUGUAUUACUGGAAUGAUUGCUUUGGUAAAUGGAAUUCAACAGAAUCCACACAUUCAUGACUCUAAAAUUCAGCUUACUAGCAACCAGAUGGAACACACAUUUUCUGGUUCAGGCAUUCGUUUCUGGUCAGAUUCAUGGUAUCUUAGCGGUGCAACAGACGAUGCAGCAACCUCUUCUAGAGUGCCUUUUAUGAGCCUCAAGAGCAAAGGCCAAUGAUAGAUGAAGCGGUCCCUCUGCACUACUUGGGCUUCUGAUUCAGAAGUUAUCAUGAAGCCAACGAACAAGCAGAGUGAACGCAUUUGCAGUCAACCUUAAAAUUUCUAAUAUUGUCAGCAGGCCUGAUGGUAAAAAAACGAAAGUAGGGGAGCCUUAUUCAAGAGGAUCAUUGCGAACACUGUCACGUGUUAUUGGUGAGCUUGUUGGCAUCUUGUUUUGGGCAGAAUAAUGAGAUCCUUCAGUUAAUUAGAGAUCCAUAUCAACUAAACACCAGAAUCAUGGAUUUCCCAUGCUUUCUACUGGACAACGAUUGUCAGUUCUUUCUCUUGUUCACUUCUACUGGCAGUGGCUUGACUCUCCAACAAAACCCCUGAUGCACCCUGUAGCUCCUCAUUUAAUUCUGGAUUCUUAUCAGCAUCGCUUUCUUCUCCCUUUUGAGACUCUUGGAGUAUGAAAAAGAAAACUUGUGAAGAAUAAGGUGGAAUAUCCCAGCAAUGCAGUAUGGUAGGACCCAUUUGAGGGGGAACCCUGCAUUCAUCACUCUCACCUCCAGUAGCAUUAGAUGCUUGCUGGACCCAAUUCAGCCAGUCUCUGCAUAUUGACUCUCAAUAUAAACGUUUAGAAAUAACAAUGACUUCAUUUCUACUGCCUUGUUUAGACCUUCCUUGAUCAAUGUCUACCUUCAUUUCUCACAAAUUCUGGUUCUACUAUUAAAGUUCUGCCCCCAGUCCGUUUUGCAAAGCAUAAGCUAAUUUUAUAUUUGUAUAAUUCCAUCUUAACACACAAGUCCGUCGUAGCCUUUCCUGAGAAGUUAGAGAAGUUGCUUUUCUGAUAUAAAAAAGCCUUUCAGAACCAUGCUGAAGCUCUGAAUGUUGAUAGUUUUCCAUUGCAACUGAUAUGAGCUCCUCAUCGGUAGUGUCACAAGAAUGAUUCCAUGAGAAGUUUCUUGUUGCAUCACCUUUUUUAUGUAUUCCAACCCCAACUGUUGAGUUUCUUGAAAUUGAAACUACGGAACUUAGUUAUUUUGAAUUGUUUGCAUCUGUAGUGAUAAAUCACUGGAAGAGACAAUCAUAAUUUAGGCACUUGAUUUCCGUUUCGGUCGAACUAACAGCUUCGUAACUGUUAAUCUCAAGGUCAGAUUCAUGCUCUUGUUUCUCAAUUUCCUCUUCCCAUGAGAAUUUUUUUCAUAACAAUCGAAUGAAUUCUUAUAACUCCCAAAAGUUUCUAGCUUUUGCUGAUCAUGGAGGUGCCUCACAAUACUUGUCAUUAUACUCACUUUGGAAUUUUUCUGGUCCAUGUUCACUUUGAAUGAAUGUAUCCCUAAAGGGGGUAUUCAAUGACUGCCCAUAAUGAGUUACAAGUUCCCCAAAAUAGAAUAUAAUGAUCGUCGGCCUUACAGUACUGCUGUUUUAAAAUUUUCUGCUCGCUGAACAGUCAUAGUUCAAACCAUCAAUAUCAAAAGGCUUUCCCAGGCACUCAUCUUCAGAACCAUAAGGCCAGCAAGUCUGCAACCGUUUGAGUUGGGUAAAAAAGAAAGUCCUAAGCAGUGGAAGUGCACAGCAUGAUGCUGUCAAGUUUCAAUAACUUAAAUAUUGGCCAACUUAAGCCAGACCAUAUUCCUCAAAAAUCCAUUCUUCCUCUGCUCAUGUAAACUUGUAAUGCUGUCAGAAAUCCUGUCUUCAGAAUAGCAACCCUGACAAUUGAGUAUGGAAAGCAGAAUACCCAUGUGCUUCCAACUAAGCUUUUUACAACCAUCCUCAUAAACUGAGGCGUGCCAUUCUAAAGAAAAGGCAGAGUCUUUUAGAAAUCACAAUACUUCUGAAGCAGCUUGAAUUAGCAUAUUGCAGUAAUUGGAAGUCGGAUUGACUGAAACAGGGGCUCGAACGCAUCCAUCUGUAAAUCUUACAGACCGACCACCCUCAGAGAAAAGGUCUCCAAAAAAAAGGCUUCAGCUUCAUGACAAACAGCAUUCUCUGUUUCAGAGUUGCAACUGCCCCUGUUAUACUACUCCUGUGCACUUCAGCAUUUAUUCUUUAGUUAUACCGUCCCUUUAGAUAGCAUCUAUCCCACACCGUGAAGCAAGCAAGGUUCACUAUAAUAGGAUCUAGUAGCAGCAACAAACGGGUGAUCCUGGAGAUAUUUUAAACUCAACUUCAUCAACAUCUUCAGCGUGCACUUCUGUUGGAACACAAGCGAUAGUAGCAGUGAAAAAAAAAGUGUUGUACUGAUCCCGUUAGGAUUGCAGCCCAGAAUACCACGAACAGAGAGCCCCAAAAAUUGAAGCAACUCUGCAUCCAACUAAAUCACAUCUAGAACCCGGUUUAACGACUUUCUUGUCUUGAAGAGGAAAUACCCAAUCUGACUCAACAAUCUGUUAUCAUGUGCCAAACCCCACAAACAGCCCACAUUCUACGCAGCCUUUAUAAAGUCUCUACCUUUCAUGAAAUACUCAUGCCAUCAUUGUCUCCAUAGCCCAGAACACCAAAGUAAAGAAGAGGAAGAAGCGUAGAUAUAGAAGCACAAAAAAAGAAACCGAACAAAGAAAGAAAAAAAAAAAAAAAAAACGAAAACAGGGGAAUGGAAGGCAAUGGGUGGGAAAUCUGAAUAAGUCACAUUUCAUUAUUUUCAAAAGGGCUUUGAAGAAUCUGAACACAUUAGGACAAGCUUAGUUAAAAUUAUAUCAGGAUUCCACAAACAUUAAAAUUCAAACAUAAGUCUCUGUUUCAGCUAUUUAUAAAAAGAAUCAAAGAAAUCAAGAACACAAUCAUAAUAGAGCAAGUUUGAAGGAAAUUUCGAUUCAACAACGCAAAUAAAUGGCCCUCAAUGUCCACUCCAAUCAGCAAGAACAACUUCCCGAAAACAGCCAGAGAAUCUCAAGUGAAUGUAAACGGGAAUACCAAAAUAAUAAAAAAAAUAACAGGAAGCGUACCUGGCAGAACCUUGGCUGCAAUCUCCCUCUCUUUCUGCUCUUCUCUCCGCACUUUUUCUUCAAGAUCUCUCUUUUUCUCCUUUUUCUCCUUUCUUUCUUUUCUUUCCUUCUUCCUUUUCUUUCCUUCUCCCUCUCAAGCCCAAAAAUCCUAUCUCUCCCUCCGGAUCUCUCCAAAAAAAAAUCCCCAUGCGUGCUGCCAGUCCCACUUUUCAAAAAGAAAACAUCUUGCUGAAAAGGAAAAUCCUACUUCCUUUUCUCCUUUCUUUCCUUUCUUUCUUUUCUUUCCUUCUUCCUUUUCUUUCCUUCUUGUAGCCGAUCCCCACAUGGAAGAAGUAUAUGUGCUGUCCCUCUAAAAAUCAAAAUCUCCUCUUUUCAAAAUUCCGUUGAUUUUCCUUCCAAAUAAAUGGCGGUUCGUUUCCUCAUGCCCAAAAAAUAAAUAAAAUAAAAAAAUAAAAAUAAAAAAAAUAAAAAAUAAAAAAUUAAAAAAAUUAAAAACAAAAAUAAAAAAAAAUCAAUCACAUGCAAGCCAUACGAGCUAUGUAACCACCAAAGGAAUAUGAGUUAUGCAACCAUGCAAAAACACGAGCCAUGCAACCAUGCAAACCAUGCAAAAACAUCUAAAGGUGACCUAGGGUGUGUCCUAGUGCGCUAGGGCAAACGAAAUGGACUAAGUGUGCUUAAAAGCUAUCCUAAAAAAAAGAAAAGCCUACGACUAAGUUAGGGCUGCCAAGGGUCACAAUAAGGGAUCAAAUAAUCCCUCAACCAAAAUCUCCGAGGUGACUCAGAAAAAGGUUAGUGGUAUGAGUAGCCAUGGGCCACCAAGGAACUAUGGGGCACUGAAAACGAAUUUAAAGACAUGUGCUAAAGGGACAAAAUUGAGGGUCUACACCCUCUUCAGUUCUGUUGAAGAUUAUCAAAGAUACAAGCAAAAAUUCUCCCAGAGGAAACUAGGGAGAAAUAUCAAUUUCUCCCAACUUUAGUACUUCGGGUUUGAGGGACUCUUUAGUCGGAUGGGAUAACUGCCAGUUGUGAUGAUUUUCGAGCCGAUCUUCCUGACUCUGGUGCGGGCAUUUUAUUCAUAGGUGACUUAUGGACUUGGAGGACCAGUCAUGUCCACUAUUAGAGGUGUUGAGAUCAGACUGAGCCCGGAGAGCAUUUUCCGCAUUCUCGACAUUCCUUUAGUUGGACUCCGGGUGUAUGAGUCCAAGGUUUGGCCCACUGUGCCGGGAUUCGAGCCUAGAGAGGCUAUUCAGAGGCUGUGCGGACUUGUAGAUGCUGAGGGGAUGGACAAACCAUCGGCACAUAGCCUGACCGUGACCAGCCAAGUCCUUCAUCACAUGAUUUGCUCCUAUUGCCACAAGGCGGGUAUCGAGAUGAGAUUUCCUACCUGGAUGCUUUCAUAGUGGACACCAUUCUAAUGGGGAGAUGGAUUCAUGUAGGGUAUUUGAUGAUGAUGCAUAUGAUAUCCUACUAUGAGAGCACGACCCGAGUACUCCCCUACAGACGCUUCCUCACUCGAGUAUUCAAGGAUGUCGGGGUCGAUUUGAGUAGAGAGACGAACUUCGAGGCCCUUACUAGCUAUGAUACUUACGAUGAGCAGUCCUUGGAGCGGAUAAAGUUUGAGAAGGCCCUCGAUGGCUCCUGGAUUAGGAGAGUUGAGCGAGCUCCAGCAUAGGCCCGGGGACAAGGAUAGAUGCAUCCCGGAGUAGAGGAGGAGGCUGAGAUCAAAGAGAUGGAGGAUGGGUUAGACCCAAGGAUUGAAAUAUCGAUAAAUAUGGAUAUAUCGGUACUUGGAUUUUACGGAUAUAUCGGAAAUAUCGGAGAAAUAUCAAUGGAUAUUUUUCAUCAAAUAUCGGUGAGACAAAAAUUAUCCAAAAUUGAUGGGAAUGCUUAGAAAAAUCCAAAGAAUGAUAAAAUAAGCAAGAAUAUACAUGUUAAAGUUAUUUUAUGAGUGUAAUUGACAUAAAUAUGGUAUAAAAAAAAUAUAUAUCGGUAAACAGUUUACGAUACUUGGAUUUUAAGAAAAGAAAAUAUGAAAUUUGGAAUUGUACACUUAAAAAGUUAGAAUUGAGUUAAGAAAUAUUUGAUUUUAUUAAAUGAAAAAAAUUUACACAUAAACAUAAUACAUAUGACAUUGCAAUGGUCCUUAAUACCAAAAUGAAGAUCGAUGUGGUUCCAUCAUAUUGUUAUUGUUAGAUGAAGGGAGCCCAUCUUGUUGAAGACAAUAUUCAUACCAGGACAUGGAGUUUCGAUAGUAUUGAUUGUAUGUACUAACAUGCCAUGCAUAAAUUUCUUGAGUCCUACCGACAACCUGUCCAUGGAUGGGAAAUCCAGGGUUUUCCCAUGUGCUCGUUUGAAAUCCUUGUUGUUGCAGCUGAUGUAGAAGGUAGUAUGGAAUUUGUGUGGAAGAAUGAUAGUUAUACCUUUCAUACUCUUCAUCAGUGGAACUUGAAAGAUUUUGAGGAGGCUGACCAUAACUCAUUGCAUAAGGGGCAUAAAUGUUGGCUUCAUUUGAUGAAUCACUUAAUUGAGUCUCUACACUCAUCGACUCAAAACUGGCCGACAAUGAGUCCUCGUUGUAUGGCAUCAUCCUUCGUUGUCUUCCUCUAUAUGGCUUUCCAAUGGCUCCAACACCUGGACCGGCUCUUCUAGAGCCGUGGUCUUCAUCUUGAGUACAAUGUGUGAAAUCAUCUUCACUAAUAAAUGCCAAUGGUUGUCCACUUUGUUGAUGUUGUCUAACAUCCCCUUCAUCAUUUUCAGGGUCGCUACCAUCAUUGGUCCCCUCUCCUCUUGAAUCAUCAUAACCGGAAGCGGAAGUACCAGUAGCACUAGGUCUACUACUAUGUUCAACACUCGUGGGGUCAAAAGAAGGUCGAGAAGUGACUACCAGCUGAGAAAUUCCUUGUCGAAAUGAAUCUUUCGUGUCUUGGUUGAAACUAUCAAUAUGAACUUCUUCGGAUAACACUUGAUCAACAUCAACACCUGCUUCUCGGACAUGUGCGGCAAUUCGUGGGUCGAGAUUUCCAUCUUCAUCAUCUAAAUGAAGAGGUCUAACCCAUUGAAACAAUUGGUUAUCUUCUUCUUCACCAGCCUCAGUUGCAAUAUCAAGUAAAUCAAGGUAAUCUUUCUCUGAAACUUUGUCAUGUUCUGCUUCCAUGUCACGUAUCUUUAGUUUCAUGUUAUAAUAAUAGAAAACUAAUUGUUAGAGCAUCGGGUAAGCAAGCUGAUUUCUUUGUUUUGUAUGAAUUAUGGAAAACAUGCUCCAAUUUCUCUCACAAGCUGAAGAUGAUGCAGUUUGCGAUAAAACCUUGAUGACCAACCUUCUUAAUGUAGGAGUGUGAUUUCCAUACAUGAACCACCAUUCAACUACAACCAAAUAAAUGAUAUCAAUACUUAUAUUGGAAAGCUAUAAUAAUAUGCUAAUGAAAUGAAUUAUUAAUUCACAAAUAAUACUCACCGAGAACCAUUUCUAACCUCGAAGCAAUCACUGUUUGAUCACCGAAUCCUCUUUUUGCAUCUCGGAAUAGUAUAAUCUACAUAUUAAAUAAUUGAAAGUGAAAAAGUUGAGUAAAUGAAAUUAAAUUAUUUAAUUUAUAUUAUAACUCUAAUAAUUUACCUCAUUUCCAAAUUGACUAAAACCUUCUGAUGUAGGAUCUAAUUUCGCAAAGACUUCAUGGACAACUUGAAGUAGAUCAGGAUCAGUACCAACUCCAUGUUUAUAUUGAAAUCUUGGAUUAAGAAAGAAUGCUACAAUAGUAAAAUAGAAAUGUAAAAUUAGAAUGUUAUGAAAGAAACAUAUUAAAUACCAAUAAAUUUCAAAGAUGAAUAAUACUUACCUGCUGCAUGAAAAGGAUGUUUAAAAGUUCUAUCCCAACGAUAUGCAAUUAUUUCUAACACCCAUUCUUUAGCAUUAAGUCGAAUAAGGUUCUCUUUCAUAACUCGAAUCAAUUCGUACACAAAUGGCAUUGUAGGAACAACUUCUGAAUCGACAAUGCGAAGAACUGUGUAUAGCGCCUCAUAUAUUGACACUAGCUUUCCCACUCUUUCCUAGUAUGCAUGGUCAAACAUAAGUGAUUCAACUUCUUUGCCGAUUAAUGUGCAACUUAAGUUGUGUUGUGCCCAUUCAUCACUGAUAAAUAUUUUCUUCAAGUUUAUUUUCUUUUUCAAAAGACUGUCGAAGGCUAUAUAAUUGGUUGCAAAUCUUGUUGCUCCAGGACGAACUAUGUCUCCACCACACACCUUCCGCAUCUGGGUAAGCAACCAACCAUGGUUAUAAAUGAAGUUGGUUAUCUUUCGAGCCUUUGUAAUCACAUCUGCAACACUCGUCCUUUUACCGAUAUCUUCGAACAUUAAGUCGAUGCAAUGUGCUGCACAUGGAGUCCAAUAAAGAUUGUAUUUCUUCAUUAACAACUUCCCCGCCUUCAUGAAUGCCGACCCAUUAUCUGUAACUAUUUGGACCACAUUUUGUUUGCCAAAUUCCUUGAUCACAUCCUUCAACAAACCAUAUAUGUAUUUGUUGUCCUUUAUAUUAUUUGAUACAUCAACAUAUUUGAGGAAGAUUGUGCUACCUUUUGAAUAUACCAUGAAAUUAAUUAUGCUUAAUUUCGUGGGCCCAGUCCAUCCGUCAGACAUAAUCGUGCAUCCAUAAGUCUUCCACUUUUCUCUUUGAAUAUUGACAUAAGCUUCUAUGUCUUUGUACUCCAUAUCCAAAUACUCGUGUUUGAUUUCAUAAGGAGACGGUGGUUUUAUACCCAUACCUACCAUCCAUAUAUAAUUAAAGCAUAUAAGAACAUUUGUGGCAAUCAUACUAUAUAAAUAGUAAUGAUAUUGUUAAAAUGAAUACAACUUUUAAAAUUAUAGUAAUUACCUGCUUGUUGUGCACCAACAAUCAUGUUCUUGAAGUGGUGAGAGUCUGUUUUACUGGGCGGAACACUCUCAUAUAUGAAGAACUUACUGAUCAAACGUCCCAUGGUUUCCUUGAUGGCACCACCUUUGAAAAUAUUUUUCAUAUUUUUAUGUCUUGCUACUGAAGAUUUGUACAAUGAGGGUGCAUCAGGCAGUGAUGGAUCUAAAUAUCGAACACUUUGCGAUUUUCGCAUUUGCCUUGUUGUUGGAUUGGUUGGAUGUGAAGACUUGCCUAUUAUAAUUAUUAAAAUUAAACAUAUAUGCUAAUUUAAUAUUAUUGAUAAAGUUGAUAAGAAAUAGUAAUAAUUCAAAUUAAUAUUAUACCUGUUUUUAUUUUGUCUUUUAUAAAAUGUUCUUCUUAUUGUCGAUUCCAUUCAGCAGCUUUUGAUGCUCGAACCGCCUCUCUAUAAGCAUGUCGCUCACCAAGGUGCAUGUCAGCCAGAUACAUAUACACAUCAUCAUCUCCAUCAUCAUCAUCACCACCAAGGUUCUCCUCAUCGUCCUCAUCAGUUACAUGCUUAUGUCUUAUUCCCAUUGUGUCUCGCAGUUCAGAUCGAAUCUCUUCUAUAUCUGUAGCUUUCUUCGCUUUUGCCUUAUUUUUUUGCUCUAGAAGUCGUCUUAUUUAUUGUUUCACUUCUGGAGGCAUGUUAGGACACUUUUUUGUAUUUGAAUUAGGGUCUGUAUGUGAUAGGUGAAAUUUAAAACGAGUAAUCCCACCACUCUUUAUUGCCAACCCACAGUAAUUGCAUACUGUUCCAUUUUUGUCCCCUUCCAUAGGUGUACAAUAUUUCCAACAAGGAUCUCGACCCAUGAUACCGCUUUCACUAGCCAUUUUCUAAAAUUGAAUUAUGAAACUAAUAUCAAAUUUAAAAUUAUUAAAGAUAAAACAUGUAAGAAAUUUAAUAUUCAUGAAAUUGAUAAGAACUAAUAAAAAUUGAAAUUAAAAUUAAAUUAUGCAUAUAUGAAAUAGAUAAACAUUACAAUAAAAUUUCAAUAUGAAUUAAAUUUAAAUUAAAUUAAAUUAAAUUUGUAUAUUCAUGAAAUUGAUAAGAAUCAUUACUAAUAAAAAUUAAAAUUAAAAUUGAAUUAUGCAUAUAUGAAAUAGAUAAACAUUACAAUAAAAUUUCAAUAUGAAUUAAAUUAAAUUAAAUUUGCAUAUUCAUGAAAUUGAUAAGAAUCAUUACUAAUAAAAAUUAAAAUUAAAAUUGAAUUAUGCAUAUAUUAAAUAGAUAAACAUUACAAUAAAAUUUCAAUAUGAAUUAAAUUUAAAUUAAAUUAAAUUAAAUUAAAUUUGCAUAUUCAUGAAAUUGAUAAGAAUCAUUACUAAUAAAAAUUAAAAUUAAAAUUGAAUUAUGCAUAUAUGAAAUAGAUAGACAUUACAAUAAAAUUUUGAUAAGAAUUAAAUUAAAUUAAAUUUGCAUAUUCAUGAAAUUGAUAAGAAUCAUUACUAAUAAAAAUUAAAAUUGAAUUAUGCAUAUAUGAAAUAGAUAAACAUUACAAUUACAUUUCCAUAUGAAUUAGAUAAUAUCAAUUAAACUAUUGUAGACCCCCCUCUUUUGGUCUCGUUUCUUUUUUUUUCCUCUACAUAUAUUAUGUUUGUUUUAGCCAUUGCGGAAGCACCUGGAAGAGGUGUUAGUGCCUUGAACAAGUGGGGGGACCUGGCUGUUUGGAGAGAUGAGCUGCGUGGAACACGUGGUGGAGCAGUUGGCCACAGCCAUGGUGGUGGUUGGGGCUCCAGUUUGCUGAGCAGAGGAACAGUAUAGUAGCUGAUGGCUUGCAGGAAAAGCUUUGACGGAGAAGGAGGACAGAGGAUUUUUAAGAGGAUCCUUUUGAGAGUGCUGGCAGGGGGGGAUCUUGGAGGGAAAGGGAAGAGGAGAAGUAAGUUUUGAGGAGAAAGGGGCUUUCAGGUAUGGCCAUUUAUGAUUUUUCCCGAAUAUUCUGAUCUUUCAUAUCUUUCCCAUCUUACUCUCCAUGAUUCCAGUUUUGCUUGAUGAGUUGUUUUGUUUUGAUGAUUGUUGGUUUAACAUUAAAAAAGAUGGCUGUUUUUUUUGUGUUUUACCCGUGCAAACCUCUUCCAACUUAACCCUUUGAUCGUUAAGCUCAUGGAUGAAAGAAUGAAACGAAGUUAGCACAUUCAUCAAAAGGUUCCCUGCUAUGUUUCUCCAUUUGUUCCCUUUGCUUGAGUAUGUGAGUAUUGAUGCUAAUAGUAGCAAGGUCCCAGCCAACUUUGUACAAUAGAGCUCAGAUGUUGCUCUAGGGGUUCAUGAUCAUCCUGUCAAGUGCCUAGGAGCAAAUGAUGCCCUUGAGCUUACGUUUCUAAGUCGUGUUCUCCCUACCAAGCUGGAUACCCUCCUUGCUAAGGACGGGGGGACGAAACCUAUUAACAGCCGAAACCCAAUGAUAAGAUCCAAGUCACUGUCGAGUAUCUCAAUGAGAAGGAUGCCAUGGUUCUUUCUUCGUGUACAUGUUGUUCCCAUCUCCACCCAAGUUGACUAAACUGUCAUCAGUGAUGAGAUUGCUGCCUACACUAAAUAAUACAUCAUCCAGCCGGUUAUUCAUGAGAAACAUUAAGAUGAGAAGUCCACCUUCCAACACCCAUUAAGCCACUCUUCACACCCAUCUUCUCUCAUUAACAUCCUCAUACCCCUCCCACCACUUCGUGAUUCAUAUCCCCAUCAUCCCCAGCCGUCCAUGCUAUCAAUAAUAUCCCCACUUAUCUUCAUACCCAUUUGUUCCACUAUUCGGAAUCCCCAUGCAUGCGAAACUGGACGCGGAAGCCAUGAUAGCAGAGAUUGUGAUGAAGAACGUGGAAUGCGGUACCCUGUUGCAUGAAGUGAGCAUGGUGGAGCGGCGGUUUGAGGAGUCGACGAGGAAGAUAGAGCUGUAGAAGAGCUUGCUGGAGGUGUUGGAGUUGGAGAGGACGAUAUUGCUGAAUGAUAACGUGCGGCUGGGGCGCGAGAUGAGUGCGCUGAUUGAGGAGAACAAGGGGCUGUGGAGGUCCCGGCUCCUGCUCCGACGCUGGAGGCGCUGAGUCCUCCAGCACCGCCGGCCGAAGCUCCUAGGCCACAGCUAGAUGCGAUCCCAUCCAUCUCCAUCUCUGCCAGGUGAGAGUAGGGCAGAGAAGAUCACGUGCGUGAGGUAGAGGGUAGAAAUGGAUAAAGGGCAUAGAAAAUGGGCUACAGCAAUGCAUGGAAUUGUUUGAUAAAAGAAAAGAGAAAUGGGUUUGUUGACACGUGAAAGAACUAUGCACUUUAAAAAAACUCUCCCUGUUUGUUUUACAUAUUCUCAAACAAUGCUUAAAAAUCCCUUAAAAUUUUAAAGUUAAAAAUUUAUUCACUUAUUCAUGUUUUUCUAUUCACUUCAAAUUCUCGAAACUCAAUCCUAAAAUUUAAUUUCUUCAAAGUUCAAUCUCCAAAAUAACUUUUUUUUUAGGUUCUAAUUUUAACUUUAAUUCUCCAAAGAUCCAAAAUUUUAAAUUUAACUUUCCAAAAAUCCCACAAUUCCGAAUUUAAUUUUAGGUCUUGUAAAUUAGUAUUAUUAUCCCAUAUUUAUUUAUUUAAAGUCCAAUCCUUCAAAAAUCUCAUUAUUAUUAUUAUUAUUACUUCAACUUUCGAAAUCAAUUUAUUCUUAUUAUUAUUAUCAUUAAUCCAAACUUUCAAAAUCCUAUUAUUAUUAUUAUUAACCCAACUCUCAAAAUAUUAUUAUUAUUAUUAUUAUUAUUAUCAUUAAUUCAGACUUUCGAAAUCUUAUUAUCAUUAUUAUUAAUUCAACUUGCAAAACCUUAUUAUUAUUAUUAUCAUUUCAAAACCUUAUCAUUAUUAUUAUUAUUAUGAUUAUCAUUAUUAUUAAUUUAACUUUUAAAAUAUUAUUAUUACUGUUUUUAUUAAUUCAACUUUUAAAAUCUUAUUAUUAUUAUUAUUACUAAUUCAAUUUUCAAAAUCUUAUUAUUGUUAUUAUUAUUAUUAUUGUUAAUUCAACUUUCAAAAUCUUAUUAUUAUUAUUAUUAUUAUCAUUAUUAACCUAUUAUCAUUAUUAUUAUUAUUAUUACUAUUACUAUUAUUAUUAUUAUUAUCAUUAUUAUUAAUUCAAUUCCCCAAAUCUUAUUAUUAUUAUUAUUAUUAAUUCAACUGUCAAAAUCUAUAUUCCCGUAGUUUAAUUUCUCAAAGUUCAUUUCUUAUCAUUACUGUUAUUAUUAAUUCAAUUUUCAAAAUCUAUAUUCUCGCAGUUUAAUUUCUCAAAGUUCAUUUCUUAUCAUUACUAUUAUUAUUAAUUCAGCUUUCAAAAUCCAUAUUCUCGCAGAUCAAUUUCCUAAAGUUCAUCUCUCAUUUUCUUUGACGAAUUUCAAUUUAAUUACCGAAGCUCUAAUCUUUCAAAGUUAAUUCCAAAUACUUCAAUUUUCAAAUAAAGUCUAAUAAUCCAGUUUUCACUCGAAUGGUUUUAAUCCCAUUUCAGUCCCUAAAUAAUCUUCUGGUAUUCUUGAUUUUAUAUAAGCAAUAGUGAAUUCUUCAUAAUUCUAAAACACGGAAUUUGUGAGACUGGUUCAUGAAUAAUAAAUUGGGUUUUGGUGGGAGGCACUAUGUUUGAUCCCUAUUGAUUGUCAACUGUUGUGCUUAAUGUAUUUUUGCUUGAUCUUCAUUUUGCACCCUGAUAUGCAUGAGUUAUAAUUUGUAUUCAUUAAUUAUGCACUAAUCCUGUUUCUUGAUAGCAAAUUGCUGUUUGCUACCCAGGUACGCAUUCACUCAUUCUGAUCAUUCACUAUACGUAUUCUGAUUCUCAUAUAUGCAUGAUUAAUGUGAGUAUCCAUUGACUUUCUUAUUCGAUUGCCACGUCAGUUUCACUUUAUUAGUAGAGACCCGACUUUAGGGACUUUGAGGGGUGCUAUGGUCUCUACCGUACCUUCCCGAUAAGUAACCUGACCCUCGAACCCGAUCCGGUUUUUCACAGACCACCUUUUCCAAAACAAGGAGUCGCACUUAGGGUUUUUCUUUCUUAUUUUGUUUACCCUUUAAAAAUAAAACAAAAAUAAGUGGCGACUCCAAGUCAUUUUCAAAUAAUCAAUAAAAAUCAAGUUUUCAAAUAAAAAUCGAGUUCGUCAUCGAGUGGGAAACGCAUUGAGCCGAAAUGCGGGGUCCACAACUAUAUAUAACAAAUAAAAUUGAAUUAUGCAUAAUAAAAUAAAUUUUAUGAAAGGUAAGACAUACCUUAAUUAGCUUUGACUUGGAGUUAAUCCCUUUCACCAACAAAUUUUCAAAAUAAAAAAAUUUUGCUAGAUCAUAUAAGAAUUUUGAUGUAUGAAAUGGAAUGGAAUGUGGGUAUUUAUAGGAAUUUUUUGGUCAAACUACUCGUUGGAUGGUCAAAUAGCCGUUAUAAAUUAAUUUUAACCGUUGGAUCAAAAUUUGGUUCAAAUUUCACCAUUAGAUCUUCAUAUAACCGUUGGAAACACUCCAUAGCCCUUGGAUAAAGUGAAGAUUGAUUUUCCACCAUUGGAUCACAAAUCUGACCAUUGGAGGCCUUUAUAAACACACGGGUGAAAUUUGGGCCAUCAGAUCCUCAAAAAUUCAAAUUUGGCCGUCAGAUCAAAAUCCUUGAAGCUGUAAAAAAAUCACCGAUUAAUCGCGAUUUUCUCGGCAAAAAAUCGUUGAUAUAUCGGUAAAAUAGCUGAUUUUUUGGGCUCCUCCUCCGGCUUCUUCGUGCGUGCCUCUACUCGCGAUUUUUCGUCGAUUUAUCGGUGAAGCACCGAUAUUUGGCCGAUAUAUCGGCGAUUUUGCCGAUUUUUCCGUCGAUUGAUAAUCGGUGACGAUUAUUAUUUCGGUGCCGCCCAAUAUCCGAUAUUUCUCCGAAAUAUCGAUGAUAUAUCCCGAUUUUUCAAUCCCUAGUUAGACCCUUAGAGGGAUUUUAAGUAGAGAGGGCCCGAGCUUGACAUUUCUCCUCCACCUCAUUCAGAUGGUAUUCAUGUUGAGACCACUUUCUUAGAGCCUAUGAUGAUUGAGUCGUCUUACACUACAGGAGCAUCAUCUCAGCCAUCAUUCACCGAGCUUCCUCACACAGAGAUACCAUCUCAGGCACCUCACGCUUCUGAUCAUGCCCCUUGGAUGGAUGUAUCAGCUCAUAUCAGCUUCCUUGGGACUCCUAUGGAGGAGCUUGCUUUAGUCAAUGAUACUCGAUUCUACUCUAUGGAGGAUCACAUAGAUCAGUAUCAGACUGGCUUCACUUCUCGUUUUGAGCACUUCCAGCAGAGAUUUGAGCGUAUAGAGGAGCGUAUGGAUCAACAGCAGGCUACAGUUGAGCAUCUCCAGCAAAGUAUUGAGCGCAUUGAGAGUCGCCAGGCGAGUUAGCAUGAGGAGAUGAUGGCUUACCUCCGCUCCGUGUUUCCAUCUUCACCCCCUCAGCCUUGAGUUUAUCUAGAGUUCCCCCUCAAUUUCUUUUUUAUGUUGCUAAAGGGGGAAAAAUAUCUAGGAUCUAGGAAACCCUCAUGCAUAUCAUUGUCAUAUCUAUCUUGAUUAGCAUAUAUGUUAUGUUUUCGUGUACAUGUGAGGUUACCAUAUAUAUGAUAUGCUAUUUUCAUGAUCCAUUGUUUCCUAUUCAAUUUUUCAUGCUUUACAUUGUUUCCUAUUGAAAAUUGAUUGAUUGAUCCAUGAUUGGUUUGAGGGGGAGAUUUUUUUUCUCUCCUAGAUAACCAAGGUUGGUCAUCAUAAAAAAUGGGGAGAUUGUUAGCCUAAGGGCUCUCCUAAUCGGGUUUUGAUGAUAACAAACCAUGGUUAAAUGACUAAUUGGUUUAAUGGUUAAGAAUCUCAGGCAUAAACUCGAAAAUUCAUCAAAUGACCAAAUGGAUACAAGAUCGAGACAUUUGGAAGACUUGUGAUCAUAGGAAACUAAUGUAAGAUAAAUACAUGAGUGCACUUAGGAUUUUCAUACCGUUUCAUGCAAUUUAGAAAACUCGGUUUAUUUUUUAAAACUUCGAUUUCAUUAAAACCCGAGUUUUAACAAAUGUACCUUAGGCAAAAUGUUUUAAAAUUGGCAUAAUAAUUCACCUAAAAACCUUGCCUAAGUGUUAGAAAAAAAAUGAAUUCAAAAAGAUAGGUUUUUAGGGCCAAAAGGCUCAACCGGUUGGAGAACCAGUCGACCAAUUGCCCUUCUCCGGUCGAGGAAUGCACAAAAUUUUCUCUCUCACAGUAGCCUUCUCUUCCCAGUCGAGGUUAUUCUCUUCCCGAUUGAGAACUGGUCAAGGUCCGGUCGAUGACCGGUCGAGGCAACGGUAUCCUGUCAAGCAUUAAAUGCUCCAACGGCUAGUGAACCGGUUGACCCCUAGUUCGAUCGGUCGAGGUUACCUUUUGCUGUUUUUGGCUCCCGAGCUUAGAAACCUAUAAAUUGAGAGCUCCACUUCAUUUAUUGACGAGAGAACACUUGCAACUAAUUGUCUACCUACCUGUUCUUGAUCAAAAAGCUUUCAUUUCUUUCUUAGUGCAUUAAAUCUUCAAUUGCAUAUCCUUUAGUGCACUCUUGUGUGUCAUCCUAGCUUUGUCUUAUAUUUGAGCUAUCCUUAAGCUAGGUUGAGGGAUUCAUUCUUGUAAAAAUCGAGUGUUAAAGCCUUCAAGAGGUUUAAAUCUUGAAGAGAUUGUGUAAGAGCCCAUUGGAGCCGGAAUCCAAGUGUAAGAAGAUUGGAAGCUUGGUUGAAACUUUAAGUUAGUGGAACCCUCACUCAGUUAGGAGAUUGAGGAGAGUGGACGUAGGCAAGAAAGUGCCGAACCACUAUAAAAUCCGAGUUUGAAUUCUUUAACUCUAUUUCUUUAUUUUGCUUAUAUUUUGCUUGAACUCGUUGUGAUCGAAAAGAAUUUAAAAAAUCCAAUUCACCCCCUUCCCCUCCUUUUGGGUGUUUUUCUUAAUUAAGCAUAGCCUAUAUUUUCUCAUAAAUAAUCUCACAAAAUCCUAGUACAAACUUUAGCCUCAAAUUAUACAAGAUAAACUAGGAUUGAAUGGUGCACUAAUGAUAUGUAAGUUUUAAAACAAUGUGUACUAAAAAACACUCCCCUAAGGCUCAAUUAUAUUCAAGAAAGGUUUAAGAAGGUUAAACUCUUGAAACUAUAAAGAUUGAAGCGUUUUUAUAGAAGAGAAAAGCCAAACUACCUAUUGGGGGUUCGUCUGGUCGAGCUCUGGUUCGACCAGUUCACUAGCCAUUAGCAUUUAAUGUAUGAUAGGUGACCAUUGGGCCUUGACUGGUACUCAAUUGGAUGAAGUUCAACCUUGAUUGAUCGAAUAAGCAUUAUGGAAAAGAGAUAAGGUUUUUGCACCCUUCAACUGAGUAAGUUGAAUAAGUCGACUAAUUCCUCAUUCAAUUCAACCAAUUAAGUCAUUUUUUGCUAAAAAAACCAUCAUUUUCAACUUAAAACCUUUUAAACAAGUUUGGAAAGCAUUUGACAUAAGGUUUUAGUUGAAAACAUGAAAUCAUCCAAUUUUUAAAAGAUUUAAAACAAAAUAACUCUUGAAUGAUUUUAGUGUAUAAGUAAAGAAUGUAAUGCAUGAAAAACCCCAUGCACUAACAACCUUACAAAGAGAUCCUAUGAGGCUUAGGUCUUGAAAAAACACUUAUCUUUAAGGUUUUCUUCUUCUUAUUGAUUUUAUCUUUGUGAUUGCCACUUUGGAAAUCAUCUUGCCUAGUCACACUUAAAAUAUAAUCAUUAGUUCUAAACCUUGUUUUGUUAUCAUCAAAACUAAGAUUAACCAAACCUUGGUUUCACAGUAUGAAUAUUGUAUCUUUAGAUCUAUAGUUAAUAGUGGUUUUUAUAGUCAUAUGUUUCUAUUGUGAUAAAUUUAGAGAUGCCUAGGGAUAGAUGAAUGCACCCUAUGAGAUCUAGUGCAUAUGAAUGGAGUAAUCUGGGGUUCCUAACAUAGUUUAGGCUUGUGCUUCAUAGAGCGAUAACAAUUCUUCAAGCAUAGUUAUGCUUUAGAAAUUUGUUAUUGAUUGGUCCAAUUUUUAGACCAUCUUUAGCAACAAUCUUGUGGGCACCAUUGAUAUAAACUUGUUAUACAAAAUAUGAUCUAUCACAUUUUUGGCAAGAACUUUCCACUAGUUUUGUGCAUGGUAAUGAUCAUGCAUGCAAACUUAACUAAGUUAUACACUAGAUGCCAAACUACUACAAUUCUUAUACACCUUCCCAUUUUGUGCAACCGAACAAUUCAACAUCAUAACACCAAAGUUCUUGCUUAGAUUUCCUACAGUGCUAAAAUUUUGAAAUGAUUAAUUUUUUUAUUUUCCUUUCAAUACCAAGACCCACAUACAUCAUGUCAUGCCCUAAGACCCACUCUAAGGGCAUGACAAUCAUUUCACAUCUCAAGGUAGAAAGCUCAAAGUGUAAAUUGACCUUAACAUUCAUUUUGUAACUGGAAAAUUAUCAAUUACCAAAUUCAUAUUCAAAGUAGUAGAAUAAAAUUCUAUAAGUUUCAAAUCUCAACUUUAAAGCUAACACAUCAACUAAAGUGUUAUUGUCCAAACAACUUCAAACUUAACAAUUCAAGCAAUCAUUAAAUUCUAGCUUUCAAAAAAAUAAAGUUUUAACCAAAAGUCUUAAUAUUGCCAAAAUAUCAUCCUAACGAUCACUCCUAGCCCGAAUUAAGGUGCCUAAAAAAUUGUCAAUGAAAGGAAAUGAGAUCAACGCUCAAUAAGGAAUAUUAACAAAGUUUCAUGGAUCAAACAUUUUUAAUUAUAAUUCCAAAUAGGAGAUAUAAUAUAUAAUCAUUUUCAUAAAAACUUUUGAGUUUAAAUAUAAUAAUACAUUCAAAAAUUUUUAGCUAAACAUUUUCAUAUCUAUGUCAAAACAAUUUCAUAUCAAAUUCAAAUCAAAUAUAUACAAAAUAUUUUUAUUUUGGUUAUCAAAUAUCACAUGGUGUCAAGUUAGGUGGGACUUUACAAAUUGGUGUCUAGCCUCAAAUUUUUUCAUUUCAAGGUGGAUGAAACCAAACACUACUAGUAUUAUUAACAUCUAACCAAAUGCCUAAAGGGUGGAAUCUAAAGCAAUUACAUGCCCCGCCAAGAAAUAUAAGGUCAACAAUUAUAACUAGUUAACUAAGGACAAAAAUAAACUAGAGUCAAACACCUUAUUUCAUUAAUUCAAACUUACAAAACAAAAACAUCAUAUCUCCAUAAUUUUCAUUUUUUAUAAACAAAAGAAAUGUUCUAACAUAUUUUUUUCAUGAAAAAUAUAUAUUUGAUCCAUGCAUAAAAAUAAAAAUAAUUUUUUUUAUUAUUCAAAAUAACAUAUAAAAGUAAAUAUGUUCUUUUGGCCAAAACAUGUAUUAAUUUUUCUUACCUCAAAGAAACACUCAAAGACCUUGAAGCAAUUAAUCCUGAAGAAUUUCACCCCAAAAAACAUAUUUCAUACCUUACAAAAAAAAAACAAAAAAACAAAAUUACUAUUGAUUAUUUAUCUAAUAAUAGUUUCGUAUCUCAUAUCACCUAUAUUAUUUUUAACUUCCUAAUAAAUAACAAUUUAAUAAGUGAUUUUCCAAAUUUUAAAAAGUUAUGUUCUUUCCAAAAUUUAUUCAUAAUAUUCUAUUAUUAUUAAUUAAAUCUCUCAAAAAUAUGUUUUUUCUAUUUAUUGCAUUAAACUAUUAUUAUUAUUAUUCAAUUUCAAUUUGAUUAAUUGGUUUUUUCUUUUAAAUUUUUAAUUUAUAUAAGAUUCUUGUUUUGAAAAUCUUCCAUAUUUACUUAUUUGUUUAAAGUAAAUUUCUCCAAAACUUGUUCCUUUUUGUUAAACAAAUAUCUUUUCCUAUUAUUAUUAUUAUUAUUAUCCCUAAUAUUAUAUUCAAAUAACUAAACAAUAAUAAUUUAAAUUAGUGAGUUUCCAAAUUUUUAUAAAACUCAUAUUCAUUCUAAAUCUUAUCAUAUAUAUCUAUUUCUUUUAUAUAAUUAAAUUAAAUUAAAAAUUUUACUUAAAUAUAUAUAUAUAUAUAUAUAUAUAUAUAUAUAUAUAUAUAUAUUAUAUUAUAUUAUUACUUUCAACAUCCUUCUACCACCGAAACAAUUACCUCAAGUAAAAGUCAUCUAUCCUUAUUCUACUAACUACCCUCUCUCUUGCAAUAGCACACUUAGGGAUGGCAAUGGGGCGGGUUCAGGAUAGGUCACCCCCAUCCCAACUCCACCUUGUUUAUUCAAAAUAAUUAUCAUCCUCGUCCCAUUUAAAAAAUUAAAUGAGACGGGGCGAGUAUGAUAAAUUCUCAUACUCGCCUCGUCCUGCCCCGUUUAACUUUUUUUUGAAUUUAUUUAUUUAUUUAUUUUUAAAAUUACUUUUAAAAUUUUUAAUUACAUUAAAAUAAAUAUAUUUUAUAAAUAAUUAAAUAAUUAUAUUUUUUAUUACUUAUUUUAUUAAAAAUAUUUUAUUAUUAUCUAUAUAUUAAAAAUAGUAAAAUAAAAAUUAAAUUAAAUUAAUUUUAAAAAUUAAUUUUAUAUAUAAUUGGGGCGGGGUGGGACGGGGCAAUACCCAAACCUGCUUCGGGUUUUAAAAAAAAUUCUCAAACUUGUCCCAAACCCGUUUAUUAAAAUUGAACUCCGUCCCAUUAGGGACGAGGCGAGUACCUCGAAAAAACCUGCCUUAUUGUCAUUCCUAAGCACACUUUCAUUUUUUUUUUUUCAUUUUUAUUGCUUUUAUCUUUUUCCUCCCUAAGAUCAAUCAUAUUGUAAGCACCCCUUUUUUUUUUCUACCACAUCUUGUUGCAAUCAACCUUGUAAGUUUUUUUAAUUUAAAUUUUUUUUCCACUAUGGAGGCACGUACAACCAUAAAACCCCAUCUUUUUUUAUUUUAUUUUUACAACUCUCAAAUCUCUCAACCUCCAUACUAUUAGGUUUUAUUCAUUCAUUUAUUUAUUUAUUAUUCCAUAUCCAAAACUAUAAUUAAUUUUCUUUUAUAUUUUUUUAUUUUAGAUCUAUUAAUUUGAAUAUUCAAAAUUUCUAAUCUUUACUAAUAACUCUAAAGCAUUCAAAACUAAUUAAUAAAUAUAAAAUAUUAAUCUAAGGAUUAAAAUCUUAUAUAGAAAAUUGAUCUUCAAAUCUUAAACCCCCAAAUUUUCAACCUUACAUUGCGUUGUCUAAUAUCUCAAAUCUCCAUGUAAAAGGGCUUUUGAAUAGAGUAAAUAAGAAAAAUUUAAUUUAUACCUAAAAUUUUUAAAAUAGAGAAAAAUCUUUCUACCCUUAUUAAUUUAAUUUAAUUAAUUUUUUAAAAUUAUGUUUUUACCCUUUAAUUGGGUUUGGGCAUCACACAUCAUACUAAAAAGUUAUCAAUAACCGUCCUUUGAGGCAUAUUAGCAUAAAUUUGCAACUUUAGUUGUGUUCUAGGUGCAAUUCUAUUAUGUUUAAUUGAAAAAUAACACACAUAGCACAACCAAGCCUAAUUGAAAGCAUUUGGGCAAAUAAAUGGUAAAUUUCUAAAAGUUCACCAAAACAAAAAAAAAGAUCAUAGAGGGCAUAUUUUUCAAGUCAACCUAGUUUUGGGAUAGCCACUUUCAAGCCUAAUGAUGUUAAGAUGUCUUAUUGCAAUCCAAUCUAAGAAUGCAAUAAUAGCUCUUUAAUUCAUAAUUUUAAAUUCACAAAAGAUAUCACCAAAAAUUACCAUAGGUUACCAAAGCAUCAACAACAUACAGAAAGCUUAGAAAUGCUUGGAACCUAUCGGAUUUUCACUUUUUAGGAAUAAAAAAAAAAAUCAACUUUAAGGAUUUUAGGGUAAUACUUGCUUGAACCAUCUUUCAAUCCUUUUGUUGGUGGUGGGCCUUUUACCUAUAGGAACAGGAAUAAGAGGUGAAAAUGAGGGAGCCUUAUGAAAACAGAUCCCUAGGGCUUAAGAAGGGGUUUUCAAUUUUAGGGUUUGCCUUUUCACCAAGGAUGUGAAUGGGAAGAUCAAGUGAAGUUAAGAGAUUGGUGAAGCAAAGUGAGGGCAUGGUAGGGUUUGAAUAAGGGAAAUUCUACACUAUUAAUGAAGAUGAUAAUCUCGAGAAAGCAAAGCUAAGGUAAACUAGGGUUUUAAUAACAUUUUUCAAUCUACACUAGUGAAGACGAUAUCUUCGAAAACCAAAGCUAGGGUAAGCUAGGGCUUUAAUAAUGAAUUUCAAUCUACAAUGGUGAAGAUGAGAAUCUUCGAAAACCAAAUCUAUAAUGGUGAAGAUGAUUGAAAACUAAAUCUAUACUGGUGAAGACGAUUGUAAAGCAAAUCUACACUAGUGAAGAUGAUAAUCUUCGAAAACCAAAUCUAUAAUGGUGAAGAUGAUUGAAAACUAAAUCUAUACUGAUGAAGAUGAUUAGAAAGCAAAUAUUCACUGGUGAAGACAACGAAACCAAAGGUAGGUCUUCUAAACUAAACCCUUUUAGGGAUUUUCCAUUUUUUUUCCUUUGUUUUCAAGAAAGGUAAACUCUCUUGAAAACCAAAAAACUAAUGCAUUCUUAAAUCCAGAUCACCAUUUUCAACAUAGUAUUUGGAUUUCCACCUUGCAUUUUUUAUUUUUUAUUUUUUUUAAUAGUCAAGGGCAUUUUAGGGAUUAUUGAAGGAUAAUAUCAAUAAGCUCAAUUUCCUACAUUAGUUAGGUCUUAGGCUCAAAUGUGAAACUUAUAGGGAUGUUAGGCCAAUUAUCAAACUUACUUGCCUAAAGCAUAAUUUCCCCUUUUCAAAAUAGUUGUUAAACAUCAAUCCCAAACAUGUGUAACCCUUUGAAGUACUUGUAUGUCAACCUUGUUUCCUUUCCCUCAUGCAACAUGACUUAUUGAUGGUUGCAUUGAAUCAUUAUCAUUCACCAAAUCCAUGCAACUAUGGACUACCUUUCAAAUCCCUUGAACAUAAAUGGUAAUUCCAAAACAACUCAAGUAUAAUCUUUCCGGCCUUUCAAAUGAUUUAAUUAAUUGAUGUUUGAAUAUACUUCAUAUAUUUUUUUAGAGCAAUUUUUAGGCAUAUGACAUAAAUCUCUAAUUUUUUUUAUUUUUAUAAAAGGUUUUAUAUUUUAUAUUACAAUUUCCUCUCUUUUUUUUCAUCUAAAAAACAAAAUAUAAAACCUUAAUAAACGAGUUUUGUCACAAUCCCUUAAAAGGUAAUCUAUUUUUAAAAAUUACUUUAACCAUUUUAGAUAUAUUGAUUCAGUCUAAUUUAAUUUUAAUAUUUUUUAUAAAAUAUUUUUAUUUUAUAUGAUUAUAAAUUAAUUACCAUUGAUUGCAUAUUAUAGAAUAUAUAUUCUAAAAUAUAUCCUAUUGACAAUAAUAUCAUAAGAUAUUAUAUCCAUAUCCUAAUAUAUUAUAUACUUUUAUUUUGUGCAAUUAGCAACAGGGUGGAAGACGGCUUAGGCGGGAGACGGCUUAACGGAAAUGUCGUCUGCCAUGCGUGUCCCUUCCCUUAGUGAGUCUGAACAGCUCCAACAUUUCUGACACGCCCUUCUUCGGUUAGCUCUUAAGUAUUUUCGUUAACCCCAUCACAUUUCGCCAUGUGGAUCUAAGCCUCAUGGUCCUUUCGUUCGUACUAUGAAUAUAUUCCUUAUCUAGAGUCUGGAUCCUUUAUCUCUGCACGUGUCUAUGGCUCUUCACCCCAGCAAGUAUGGCAUUACAAGGGCAAUAUCGUCAUUAAAGACCCAAAAGGCAAACGAAUGGCAUUAUCUUCCUUUUGGGUCUAUUCUAUUUAUAUUUAUAUUGCAAGUUAUUCGUGAUGACUUCUCUCAUAACAGCUAAAAACCACUCCAACAGAGCACACUUCACUUCUUCGUUUUUGUCUUUCCUCUUUUUUUUCCAGAGAAGCUGAGAAAGCCCAGCUUGCCCUCAACUCCCCGAUGGGUUUGAUGAAUGUUCUCAAAUUCUCAGCUGCAUGCUUUGAUCUUCUUGGCUGGUAUGUUGUCCACGGAUUUUCUCGUCAUUGGAAAAUGAAGUGGAAUUCUAUGUUUGAGGACAAAACUGGGAUUUGCUUUGAUUUCUCCAUGUUGGUUUUAUCCCUUUCCUUUGAAUUGUCCACAUUCUUGUCAUUGGUUGUUAGUUAUUUGUUUGGAUUUCUACUUGCAGGCCUCUGUUUGCACUGGGUUAUCCUCUGUAAGUCUUGGUCUUACACCCCAAGAUAUGAUCAUUCAUUUACUCUUUUCUUGUUCUAUGAAUUCUUAGUUCUGUUACAUUUAUUGGGUUGGAUUAUUAGUUAUUAUAUUAAUAAUCAUCAACGUCAUCUCGGUUCUUCACAGAUGUGCUUCAAUUCGGGUAAUUGAGACUAACUCAAUCUCAGACGUUCGGAAGUUGGUGGCGUAUUGGGUUCUAUUUUCCUUGGUUUCACUCUUUGAUCAUACUUUUGCCAAGCUCCUUGAAUGGUAAUUUUGCUCAACUGCAUUCCACUAUAUGUGGCUCUAUUUCUUUCAUUUCUCUGCCCUUAAGGAAUUUGGAGUUGCUUUUUUCAGUUUUCUUCCCUGUGAAAAUAAUCGAGAUGUUUAAUGUUCCAGGCCUGCAUGCUCAAGGAAGUGGUGUCAGCUUUGGAAAUAAGAUGGAUCUACUAGUUUUUAUUUCUCAUCUUUAUAGGGAACUUUCCAUAAUCACAGUGAUGAAUAAUUGUCUUGUUUGAAAGCAUGGUUGCACUUAUUUCCAUGGAAUUUGUCUGCUGAGAAACAAAUGGAAAUAGAAAAUUCAGAAUCUGACAAGUUUGUGUAGGGCAACUGGAUCUAAUCUCUUAGUCGAAGCUUAAUUGGGGCAAAUGCUGAUCAUCUUUGGACCAUUGAAGGCUCUAAUCUGUGCACAAUUCUAAUGUUUUUGUUUUCUUCAUUUCUUUUUCAACUGUUCAUAAUAGAUGUCAAAAGAUAAAACCGAACUUAUGUAGUCCAUCCAAGUGGAUGCAUAUAAAUUUAACAGAAACUGAAAUUCGAAGAAAUUUAUUUAUUUUUUUAAAUAUUUUAUUUUCUUAUAUAAUGCAUGUCAGGAUACCAUUCUGGCCUUACAUAAAGCUGAUGGUCAUCUGCUGGAUGGUGAUACCGCAUUUUGAUGGUUCAUAUUAUGUCUAUCAACACCUAGUUCAUCCAUGCUUGUCCAUUGAUCCACAAGUUGUCAUGAAUUGGCUUUUCAAUGAAUCAAAAAAGAAGUUUCAUAGCAGAGAAAACUUUCUUGUUUCAGCAGACCAAUAUAUUAAGGAGAAUGGACCUGAAGCUUUGAAGAAACUACUUGCUAGGAAGGUAUGCCAUUAUAAGUAGGAUUAUCAACAAGUCAAACAGAGUUUUAUUUGAGAUGUUCAAGUAAAAAAUGACUAUAGCAGGUCAUCUAGAAUUAUGUGGUCUAAAUUCAUGUAUAUAUCUAUAUAUAAUUGUGUUCUCUUUUUUUCACAUAUGCAUGUGCAUUUAGAUUUACAUAAUUAUAUAUGCAUAAUCAGAUUCAACUGUGAUAGCCCGGGAUUUAAUUCAGUAAUCAACUCUUCUGGGAACAUGUUGGUUAUGGUUUCUCUCUCACUGUCCUCUUAUUUAUACAUGACUUUGGCUUCAGUUGAGGAGCACAAAGCCUAAUGUUGAAGUGAAAGAGAUCAAAGCACCUGCAGCACCGGAGAAAAAAGGGGAAGCGGUAUGCACUCUAAUGUGGCUAUUUUAUUUCUAUGGAGGCAGAUCCCCAGAAAAAUGUUGCUCAUGUAAAUUAGUGAUGCAUUUAAAAGAAAAACCACUUUAUGUAUGUUUCUGUGAAAAAGAGAACAAGUUUAUGGAUUAAGUGAUAUUUUUUAUGGUGAAAUAAUCAAUAAUUUUCAAAAUAAUAAUAUAUUCGUGCAUGUUUUUGCAAUUCAUGAAUUCCUUUUACGAUUGAUUCUUCUCACCUCAGUGGAAGUGUGAAGAGCCUAAUGUUGCAGAAAAGGAGAUCCAAGUAGUCAAAGUAACAGACAUAAAAAAUGGGGGGAUGGAGCAAAGAGGGUAAGUUUUCCUUUUUAUUUAUAAGGAAGGCUGUCUUCACACAAGGAUUAUUGUUAUUAUUUUUAAGACAUGAAUGUUGAAUGCAUUUGGAAUUGUCGUUGAAUCAUGUGAAGUGUGAAGGUGCAAAUGGUGCUAAGAAGGAGAUCAAAGUGAUGGAAGUAACACAGAUAACAUUUGGUGAUACAGAACAGUGGGUAAGGUUUCUUGUCAUACUUAAACGGCACCUCAUAUUUCACUAGGAUUAAUUUUGGCCUACAAACAUAUUUGGCUACAAGUUGAAGACAGAUUUCCAGAUACUGGUAGAAGUUGAGACAUAAGUAAUGAAUGAGUUUAGAAACAUGCACAACUCUUGUGUGAAACACAAUGAGAGUGGAAAAUAGCUAAGUUGAAAAAUGGCCAAAUACUAUUUUGUAGUUCCCCCCACCACUUAAGUAAUUUUUGUCAUCCUUUGUGAAUGGACAAUGCAGUCCCUUCAGUAAUUCCGCUAUAUUCAUGACUUGGUGAAGCAUAUAACCAUUAGUGUCUUGUCCUAAGUUGACCUUUAAUGAUGAUCCAUUGAGAGGGAUCUGACUUUUGUCAACCCUCUUAGAGGUUAAACAUACGGGGCUUAACCCACUUUUCAAUCUCAUUGGAUAUAUGGCACGUGGUAUCCUCUUCAUCUUGAAAGAGUGAAGUGGUCAUACUCUUUCCUCCGAGUCCAUCGUGGCCAUGCACUUCUGGCUCAUUGGGCUGAGUGAAAGGAUUCCCUUCUGCUUCAAAUCAUAGAGAGAUAUGCCAUGGUCAGCCUCUUUAAUUUGAAGGAUUGAAGUACUCAAAUCCAUUUCUUUGCAUCCAUCUUAGUCCUGCUUCCAUGUCUCAUGGUUAACCAGGAAGAUCAAGCUUCCAUCCAUGAGAUCAGCAUCUGCAGGGUUAUGACUCCACCCUUCCUUGGCAUAGGAAAGCGAUCAUUAAGCCACAUGUCGGAUGACAGAAGUCGUCAUUCAGGUUAUCUUGAGAACUAGGGAAGUUGGAAUUCUAAUUAUUGCAUAUGGUUCUUGAUGUUUAGCCAAUAUACUAUAGGAUUUUAAGCAUCAUGCCCAUGUGCAUUGUGGUUUUUUAUCAGCUAUAUGGUUUACCAAACUGAGGGAUUGAUUAUAGUCAUAAGUACCCUUUUCCCAUUAAUUUCUUGCAUGUGCUUUGCUGAGAUUAUGUUUUUGACAGUGCUAAUCAGGGCAAACCAACAAACAGCUUUAUGUUAACUUUUACAAACUGCCACAUUUUCAGGUUGAACGAUCAGACAUAAAUCUUGGUGAAACUAGAAGUAAUACAACCUGUGCUGUGGAGAUAAAAGAAAGGGCAGCAGCACUGGUGGCUGCAGAAAUUGAGGCAUGUAGAGACAAUAGAACCCCCGAGAUACCUCUGCAUAAGAAAGUCCAGAAAGAGUGGGCUUGUGCUGUAUGCCAGUUCACAACCCAAAGUGAAGUGACCUUCAAUUCCCACCUUCAAGGGAAGAGACAUCAGGCCACUUCUGAGCAGUUGAGAGCCAAAAACCAGGCAACCAAAACCAAUUGUUCCCCAUCUGCUUCAAAGGCCAAGAAAUCUGAUCAGUCCACCAAAGAGGAGCAACCAAAGUGUCCUUCCAACAAUCUGAAUUCCAAAAACAAUGGAAUCUCAGCUGCUUCAACAGUGAAGAAACCUGACGAGACCAAAGAUGAUGAGCAACAAAAGUGUGCAUCCAGCAAUGGACCAAACCAGAAGAAUAACAAAAAGCAAGAGGAGAAGGUGCUAGUUCUUGAGACCAAUGAGCAAGGCCAUCAGAAUAAUUUUGAUCCACGAUCCCACAUUUAUUUUGGGUCUCACAAGUUUCAAAUUUGCAGAAAAAUGAAAGAUGUUUGAGAGAAAAUUAAAUCAUAUUGCACUACUGUUAGGAAAAAUAUGGCUGAAUCCAAUUGCUUUUCUUCUCCAAGUCUAUUAAAAAUAUAAUUUUUUCUCCAUUCCUGACAAAAUUUAAAUUUUUUCCUUAAAAAAAAAAAAAUUAAGUUUGAUCACCUAACACAUCUUUCUAAACUCAAUCUCAACUUGAAAAAUCAAACCUUAAUGGAUGGACUAUAGAAAUAGUGAGAAAACACUUCUGGGGUUUUUUUUUUCUUCCAACAUCAAAUUUUUCUAUAUAUGGGAUUUCACAUGCAAAAGCAGGAGUAGAUUUGCUUGUGUUUGAUGUAUGUAUUAGAAAAAUUUGUCCCUUCUGGGAUGUUUAAUACUUUUCUAUUCUUUUAUAUGCAUGUUUAGCUAGAAGAUAUAGAAUCGAUACCAUUCCUUAAAAGUGAUAGCCACAACUGUGAUAAUUAAACACCAAAGAAUGUGAAGAUCUAUAUAUUCUUUUUUUUUUCCUCUCUCUUUCAAUAAUGAAGCUAAGAUGUGUUGUAAGCAUCAAAUGCAUUGUCUCUGCUUGAAUAUAUACAAAGCCAAGGACCACAAGAUGGAUAGAUAUGGGGACGCACAAAACUUCUCAAACAUGAUUAUAUUAAUCAAGAAUUCAACUAAGCUUAAAUUCAAGAUGUUGAUUUCUAGCAUCUCUGGUGCUAUAGGAUGACUAUUGAUCCUGUACUGUUAUGUGCCCUACUGAUAUAUUCUUCGGGUUGUUAUGUAUAAAUAAAAUUUUUGGGAAAGUUUGCUUGGUGGUUACACUAUCACUAUUUAGGCCAGUAAAAAUUGGAAGCCUUUGUAAAAAACUGAUGGUCCAAGAGCUAUUCUACUUCAUCAUCCAUGUAAUAUGACGAUACAAAUUUGACUAAAUGCAGCUAUAGAAGGCUUAGGACCAUAAACCAAGCCUAGUCGAUGUCACUCACCUAAAUUUAUGCAUAAAGCUUUUGGAUGGCUCAGAGUUAUAUUUAAUUACUGUUAUGUUCGCAACUAUAUUUUCAUUGGAUUUAUAGUCCAGCUUGAGAACUAGUCCUCCAUUGCACAUAAUGUCCACACAAGGCCACAGUGCCCGCUCAAAGGCCAUAGCGCUACUCAAGGAUAUAGUGCUUACUCAAGGCCAUAGAGCCCACCUAAGGCUAACGACCCAAAAGGAGAAAAAGGUUGGUUCCACGUACUCUAAUAUUUACUAGAAAAGGUUCUUCCUAUUAAAGAACAAAAAAUUGCAUUCCCUUGUGACCAAUCCAAACAGUAGACCACUGACUUGUAUAAGGCAUUAUUCACCAUGCAAGCACUUUUUCAGCAACCUACCAUCUGGCAUGAACCAUUUUGGAUUGAUUCACAAAGCAAUGGUGUUAUAUUAAGCAUAUUCAAUAUAGAACCAAAUUGUGCCUCCUUAGAUUAACUAAAAUAUUUCCAUUGCAAGAUGUGCAGAUAGGCAUAUGAUCAUGAAGUAAUUUCCUGAUGAUAAUACCCCACAAAAUAUUUCUUUUUCUCACUGAUCUCUCCUAGAUUUUCAGUUCACCCAUCCAUGGCGCCUGACUAAAAAUGGGGGCAUUUUGGAUACCCCGAGCAGUAAGUUAGCCUGGUAGGCAUCCCGUUGCAAGCAAAGUCAACCCGAGCGGUCCAUUUGACCAAAGCUUAUCCAGGCAGUAAGCGUCCAUAUACAGCUAACUGUUAUGCACCAUCAACAGGUUGAGGUUACAAGAUUAAAGAGUCAUAAUGGCCAAAUGGAAGUUACACGACUCGGCCUAUAUAAUAACAGUAUGACAAAAAAUGCAGGUAUGAAGAACUAUCACUGAAAAAAUUUAUUCCUAAAAAUCCUUUAAGCUCCUUUAAGCUAACUUGGGCAUUGGAGAGGUCUCUCCGAAGCACACUCGAGCUUACCUUUUUGUAAGACAUCGAGAACAAGAGGCAUUGAAGUGAUUGUCCGGAGGGUUGAACUUGGUCGGGAACCAACAAUACACACUAUUCAAAAAUAGGGAUCAUAUUAAAUUAUUAAUGCAACCAUAGGAAGCAAUUGAGGACAAGGGUGUUAUUUGAUUAAAAGGGUAAUUGAAAACCUAAAUUUUGAAAUUUAACCCUCCAUUCUAUUUGGCCUUAUGUGAACAAAAAUGCCUUCAUUAUUUUCUUGUAAAAAUAACUCACCCAUUUAAACCUUACAUGAAAAUACUUAAAAUGGUAAAUGAUAUGUUAAAAAUUGAUUAUUUUUCAAAUAAAACAUAAGAAGGGUCAAAUUCAUGAAAGGAUUAUUUCAUCCCUUUUAAUCAAUUAAUUCGAUUUAUUUCUUUUUAUUUUUUUUCUCUCCAUGUUAAUUUUCACAUCACCCAACAACACCACUCUUAAUUCACACAAGUUUGAAGUUUUUGAAUGAGAUAUAUUCGUAAUUAUAUUGUAAUUGUGUUAUAAUAACCAUUUCGUACUUGGAUUUGUUCUUUCAGUCCAUUUAACCUUUUUGUUUAUUCAUGUCAAAACAAUGUACUUAUAAUCGAAUCCAUUUAUGACAUGUUGAUCUUAUAUAAAUUUAUUAAUUUUAUAUAUUUAAAAAUUAUAAAAAUUAAAUAUACUUUUUCAAUUAUGAAUAUCAUAUUACUAAAAUAUUAAAUAACAAAUUAACUUGAAAUGCUAUAUAUUUCAUUAAUUAUUUUAUAAUUAAAACAUUAAAUGAAAUAAUAAACAAGUAUAAAAUAGAAAAUUCUAUCUUAGUUAGAAAUUAUAAACUGUUAUUGAGACAUAUAAGUAUUAAAAUUCUACCCAUUUCACUACCAAACAACUUAUGUUUUUAGUCAUAAUUUAACCUUAUGAUGAACACUUAAAUAAAAUUUGUCAUCUUUUUCUAUUGAUUUAUAUUUAUUUAUUUAAAAAUUUUGUCUGGCAUAAACUAUCAUCUCACAAAAUCAUCAUUGAUGAGUAGGCUAUGCCCCAGUGUAAGCAUCUCCAAAUCAAACAUCAAUGAGAGGAGUACAACCAAUCAUACAUCAUCUUAUCAAAAUGAAUCUCCGCUUUUCAAAGUCAUCGUGGUAACGUGAAGAGAGUAUUUGACCUCCUCUAAAGAAAAAACAUGUCUUGAUGUGAAAAAGAUCAAGCAAAGUGGUAUGCCUCAACAAAAAUGUGCUCAAACAUGAUCAUGCCCCGAUGUAAGUUAGUAUCUCUAAGAUCAAUCGCCAAUGAAAAGGUUAUUCCCCAGUAUAGGGCAAACUCUGAAAUGACUAAACUCCGUUGCAAGCUCUCAUAAGUGUCUGUGUCAUGAUCCAAUCAUCGCAAAAAUUUGUCAACAAUGAUGAGAAGGCUAUGCUCCUAUAAUCACAUCAAAGAAAUCACUCGGUCAUAUUACUCCAAUGUGAAAGAAAUCUAAUCACCUCCAAGGAACAGCUAUGCCUCAAAACCAUCAUCGACUGAGAGGGGGAUGCCCCUGAUCCAAUCACCACCCUAACUAACGUACCCAUCAUGAGGAACACUUGUUUGAGCUCCAUAAUGGGGAUCAACCAUUAGAUGAACAAGAUUCGAAUAUUACUUGCUCCCCAUUUCAACCAAUGAAUGAUGUACCUGGAAACCUUGUAGACAACCAUAGUUUUCAGCCUUCUUCCUCGCGAUCAUCUAGAACAGAGUCGGUAAGCUUCACUCAUUUCUUAUAAUGGACCUUGACCCACAACGUCGAACUACCUGUAUGCAAAAUUAUCCGUCCAGAAAACCCAUCCAUACAAUUCAGGUUCAAAACCCACAAGAACCACCCUAUGAAUAAACUAAUUAUAGCUGGCUUCGUUGCAAUAGGCAUUAACUUUCUUAUGCUGACAGUCCUAGCAUCAUUUACCAAAGGAUCAACAACUUUUCCAUGUCAGAGAACAUUAUCAAUCACAAUGACACCCCUGGUCCUCACUAGUUGCGAUAGCAAUUUAAAGUAUUCUUGAUUCAAAGGGUAAACAAAACAAAAAAGAAAACCCUAAGUGUGACUCCUUAUUUGAAAAAUGUGGUUUAUGAAAAACCGGAUCGAGCUUAGGGGUCAGGUUACUUAUCGGGAAGGUACAAAAAAAACCGUAGCACCCCUCUAAGUCCCUAAAAUGGGUCUCUAUUGAUAAAAUGAAGCAAUCAUGGCAAUUGGUAAGGAAAUCAUUGAGUAUCAACAUGAUCACACAUUGAGAGUUAAAGCAUGCAUGAGGAAUGGUCAAAGUGAGAAAGGAUGCGUACCUUAGCAACGAGUCCCAAUGCGCUAUCAAGAAAUUGGGUUAGUGCACAAUCAAUAAAUAUAAAAUAUAACACACAUGCAUCACUAAAUAGGGUAAUAAAUCCCCGAUGACAAACCUUGCACUUCACUCAGGUUUAUUUCUACUUCUCUGAUGUUGGGCCCCACCAAAGCUCAUUUUAUUUUGCAUGAAUCAACUCCAAUAACUCCAUUAUUCGGAAUUACGAAAUUUAAUUCUUGCUUAUUUUAAAGCAUUUUAAAAAUAGAGGAGAUAUGAGAAUUGCUCGCCAGAAAAGAAGAUGGCGGCAAAAUUUUAAUGAAAAACGAGUUUUUGGAACCUAAGAAAAAUGUUAAGGAUGGAAAAUUUUGGAGGUUUGAAAUUAAUUAAAAAUUAGAAUUGAGGAAUUUAUUUACAAAAUGGGGUUUAGGAAAAUUAUUUUCAAAAAAAAAAAAUGAUGAAAUGAGAGAUGGCACGUGACACAAGGGUGGCCAUGCUGAAGGCGUUCUCUUCUGGCCCAAGCUGGAAAUGCACUCCAAUUAUCCUUCUUUUCUGGUAUAACACCUUCAUCAAAAUAAAUAGCUUUUGCACCAUACUCUGAUAGACAAGGACCAAUAACAAUGCCUAUAUUUGCCUUAAGUAGACAAAGUAAGUCACCCAUUGAACCUCCAAUAUAAAUUGUCAAGUGCUCUGUGUCAUUACUGCAUCCCUCCUUCAAGAUGUCCUUAGAAACCUAAAGCUUUUCCACGACAUACUCCAUCUUCUUAAUGAUUUCACCCGUGGAAAUGGAUUCUUCACAAGCCAACUCAUUUGAAUAUACUCUCAAAACACCCAUAUCACCUGAUGAAAAUGCUGAUCUAACGAAAUCGCCACACCAACAGUAUGAAAGUCCAUGAACAUCUGCUUUCAGAUUAUUAUUUUUAAGAAUCUUUUGGAAGAAACCUGUGCAACCAUCUUGAAGAAUUAGACCUUGACCAACCUGUUUUAUAUCAUCUGAAUUUAAACCCUUCAAUACUCCAGACUGAGUCACUCUUGAAUCUGCCUUUUCCUCAAAAUCAGAAAGUUGCUCAAGUGCUUUACAUAAGCCUUCAUAAUUGAAUUUUUCCACUGUUUCACUGGGGACGAUGCUUCCCAUGCAUUUUUCAAGCUCUUCAGUAUGCUGGGUAGAUAGAACACCCCAUGUGUGUGUCCAGAUCACCAUGAGUGACCAUUUGAACCUUGACGAAUGAGAGAGUACAUAACAUUUAAGCACACAGGACAUAUAUUAACAUUCUCCAUUAGCUUCUCUUUGCCUUUGUCCACCUCUUGACCUCCCAUGCAGCCAACUGUGAAGACCACGUCCAGGUGCAGUCACGUGGUGACACAUCUCAUGGUCUUCCUCAUCCAAUAAAUCACAUGCUCUGUUAAAUCUGCUACCCGAAUGGAUACCUCCUAUCCAUCAACCUGAAUAUACUCCGAGCUUUCUUCAUAAAACCCAAGAAACUCCAGAAGGCAUCAUGGUUCUCCUCCAUCAUUGAAAUGAUUAGGGAUAGUAAAUCACUCAUCCCUUAGCAAUAUCCCAUUUUUAAACCAUAGGGUGCGUAGGCUUCUAGAAUAGUAGCAAAGUGAGCAACACGGAAAAUCUUGCGUGGAUCCAAGUUCCAUGAUGGUGAUCGUAGCCUCACCUUUGAAAUCACAAGACCCAGAACCCAUUCGUUCUUCCUGGUAAUAACUAUCAGAUGCAUAGGAGGCAGGGUUCUUCAGAUUGUUGAUUUGGUAAAAGCCUCUUCUGGUUGAACCCCUGAAUGAUUCACUUUUCUCAGUCCGCAAACCUAGUUCAGAACAGCCCGCAAGAUCAGAACCUUAACCUAGGCGUGGAGAUCCAGUGUUGUAUAACGCCUCAAUUGUCGGAAGCAGCCAUGGCCCAAACAAUGAUAUAAUGGUCAGCAAGUUGUCCCCAAGGACCAUGACAGUGAUGAGCAUUUCCGGGCAGCGCGUCACCACGUUCCACGUCGCGACGGUAAUGGCUAUGGACUGAGUGUCAUGGUCAGGGAGCUUGAUGAAGCAGGUGAAAAUCUGGUGUUUUAGAUUCUGAGGCAAUGACUGCUUGAUCGGUCGGAUUCUAGUACCGGCGUUACAUUGGGGAGGCAAUCUUAAAGUUCCAACGGAGGUAGUAGUGGACUAAUAUUCCUCAAUAACCAAACUUGAGUUUCUCACUUUCCGCUUCUCAAGGCAUUCACCUGAAACGCUUCAGGCGCCCAAACCCUUUCUGCUCAUCAGUAUAAUCACGCGCAUGAAAGUCUUAACUGCCUUCUAAACUUCACAACUUCAUCUUGCAUCUGGGUCAUCGUCGGCACGAACUUAUCACCUGAUUCAGUUAAUAUCCCCAUAUAACAAGUUCCAAUGAAGUCGCAACUUUGCAUCUUCUUUUCUGCGAUUACUUUGAUUCUCAAAGCCGAUUACUUGUUGCAGUCCAUAGGAGAUUCAAUAAUCAAACAUCAUGCACAAGCAAAAAGGCAACAAAAUACAUCGGCAUGUGGCCCAUACACCCUCCAAAAUCUUCACUCAUUUAGUAAGUUUUAGAUUCAAAAGAGUUAGCCUUCUGGUGAGCAACCCGAUACCCAUAACGAAUGAUGUAUCUGAAACACCUUUCCCACGUGGCCCUUGAAGGAUUCACUAGAAGGUGACCAUGCAUAGUAGGUCUUCACUCGCAGGAGAAUGAGAAGGAAAUAAACCUAAAGGGGGGUUGACAGCGUAGUCUAGAAGGUGAUGAGCUGAGCGGGUGGGGGUAUUAGGGUGGUCAAGUUCAGUGGGUAUGAAGGGUGGAAAGAUGGCAUGAUAGAGGAAUAAGCAGCUGAUAGUGGGUGCGAUGAUAUAAGGUAGGUUGACUAUGGAGAGUAUGGCAUUAAAGGAUGAAGACUUAGAGAGAGAGAGGUGGGUUUAAGGGUAUGGUGAGAUGGAGGGUUGAGGGUGAUAGGCUUGGAUAGUUGCAUGAGGAGGAUGAAAGGUGGGUAUGGAAAAUGUGCAUGGGUAGGAAAUGGGUAUAACAAUGGGUGUGAAUAUUGAGAGGUAGUGAAAUGAAGGCAGCCUUGCUCGUAUGGAUCAGUGUCGGAUUGAGUUAAGAAUGGUGAGAGAAAGGGAUUCGAUGAAUAUUGAAUGAUGGAAAAUGGUGAUUGGUUAGAUAGGGAUUUGUGGUCGAAUGGAAAUAGGAGACAUGAACAUAGAGAUGAGUGUGAUGGAUGAUAGUGGGCAUGAAGGGUAUUGGAUUUGUUCAUGGGUAUAGUGGUUAAAAGAGUGGUGAGAAGAAAAAAAAAUGGCCAUGUAAAUAGCAAUUAUACAUGUGGGCCCGUGAUUGCAAACGGGACUGCAUUGUUGCAUCUCAUGCUGAACCCUCACCUCCUUCUAGGAUCAUUUUCUGCAUCAAAGCUAGAUAAACUUAGAUGGUAUUUCCUGCCAAUUUUGGAUGCCCCCCACUUUGGAAAUAUUUCCUUUUCACCCAUCAGAAUAUGCUUAUCAGGUGUACUUGACUCAGGUUCAUUCCCAUAUUGCCUCUCUGAUUUAUGAUCUUCAAAGGUUUUGCAUGAAGGAAGCCUUUCACUGCAUUCCCCUUCAUCCACCAGACCUUCAGAGCAUCGUUUCCAACAAAAGCAACCUUGACUCUUCUAGUCCCAUCAGAAAAAAGUCUGAAUAUCCUCAGUUUAUGUCAUCCCUUGAUGCCCAACUCAGAAAUGAUCCAAAAAACAGUCAUCUCCCAUAUUUGGCUUCCCAGAAACACCUCGACUCAGAUGGCCAGUCCAAAUGUGAUACCCAACAUUCUAAAAAUGCUAAAAACAGAGGAGAUGAUGAAGAAAAACAGAGCAUGUAUAAAAGAAAAAAAAAAGGACUGUUAAAUCUCACUCCAUUCCAUAAAUGCUAAUGGGGUGGAUAUGGUGGAAUCAAAAGGAAGCAAGAGCGUGAUCUUCAAAAUCAAAAGCAAUGAUGGAUCCAUAUUCAAAACGUUCCAGAAUAGAGAAAGACACAAAUAAGGAGCAGGGUUUUUUUUUGUUACUGGCAGGAAGAUAUUUUUUCUAGAGAGUAACUAGAGAGAAAAAUAGGAAGAAAAGGGAAGAGCAUAGAAGACAUCUACAUAGGAGAGUAUUCAUUGUUGUGAGGAGUAGUAGAGAGCUUAGGAGGAGUUACAAAGAGAGUGAGUUUGGUUAGAGGAGGAAGUUUUGUUGGUUUUUCAGAAAGGAUUCUAGCUUGAGUGAGAGCCAUUCUAGAGAGGGUUAGAGAGGAGAAAGGUGUGUUUUGAGCAGCAAAGACACGAAGCAAAAUAGAGCAGCCAGGAAAGAGAAGCAGAAAAUCAAAAUUACUAAAAAAUUAGUGAAAGCUGUGAAAUUUCAUAUUGUUACUAAUUAUUAUAAUUUUUUUUUGUAUUUUCAAUAUUUCAACCAAUAUUUUAUAUAAUUAAAUUUAAAUUAUAAGAAUUAUAUUAUUAAUACACAUAACUAUCUUAAUGUUUUAACAAUGUAUACUUAUUUAAAUUUAUUUCAAUUUUUUUAUUUUUUUAUAAAUAUCUAAUUAGACUUAUAAUUCAUUGAAAUUAUUCAUUUUUUUUUUACUUCAUAAACCAAUUAUAUUACUUUUUGUAUUUUCAAUAUUCAUUUGGAAAAAAUAAUUUCAAUUUAAAAUAAAAUAAAUUAAUUAACUCUCAAUUUAUAAAUUGUGUCAUUGAAUUAUUUUUUAUUUAUAAUAUUUAGUUUAUUUUAAAUUUAAUUUUUUUUCUUCACCUUUUGGUUUAUCACUUUAUAUUAAAAAAUAAAAUAAAAUUGAAUUUCUUUUAAUUUAUAUUUUCACAAAUUAUUCAAUAUUUUUUUAAUUUUUAUAAAAUAAAUCCUCAGAUUAUAUAAUUGGAUGUUGUAAAGAGUUAAAAUUUUUGUGUUGCAUUGAAUUAUUUUUUCUAACAAAAGUAUAUUUGGGUACCGUAGACAUUAUAUCCAUAUCUUAACGUAUUAUAUACUUUUAUUUUGUGCAAUUAGCAAUUGAGCGGAAGACGCGGAGCCGGCUAACGGAAAUACCGCGUGUCACGCGUGUCCCUUCCCGUACCAAGUCUCAACUGCUUCAAGAUUUCCGACGCGCCCUUCUUCGCUUAACUCUUAAGUCUUUUCUUCCACUCUUCCUUAAACCCAUCACAUUUCGCCGCGUGGACCUAAGUCUCAAUGUCCUUGUGUUCAUACGAUGUAUGUUCCCCCAAUUCCUCAUCUACACUGAAACUCCAUACUCGCCUACUCAAUCACUUCUCUACUCUAGAGUCUGGAUGCUUAUCUCUGCGCGUGUCGAUGGCUCUUCACCCCAGCGAGUAUGGCAUUACAAGGGCAAUAUCGUCAUUAAAGACACAACAGAGUGUCUAUUUUAUUUAAGCUGUACGUAAUCGUGAUUGACUUCUUAGUAUCCUUUUGCUCCUAGUCUUCUCCCGCGUCUCUUAUAAAAACUAAAGAAAACCACUCCAAGAGAGCACACUACAAGAAUCUUCUUCCUUUUUUUCUUUCCUCUUUCUCUUUACAGAUAAACUGAGAAAGCCCAGCUCAUCCCUCAAUUCCCAGAUGGGUUUCAUGAAUGUUCUCAAGUUCUCAGCUGCAUGCUUUGAUCUUCUUGGCUGGUAUGUUGUCCACGCGUUUUCUUGCCAUUGGAAAUUUUUGGGAAAUGAAGUGGAAUUCUCUGUUUGAGGACAAACAUGGGAUUUUCUUUGAUUUCUCCCUGUUGGUUUUAUCUAUAUUCUUUGAAUUACCCACAUUCUUGUCAUUGAUUGUUAGUCAUUUGUUUGGAUUUCUACUUGCAGGCCUCUAUGUGCACUGGGUUAUCCUCUGUAAGUCUUGGUCUUACACCUCAAGAUAUGAUGAUUCAUUUACUCUUUUCUUGUUCUACGAAUGGUUCAGUUACAUUUAUUGUGUUGGGAAACUGAAAAGGAAAAGGAUUAUUAGUUAUUAUCGUAAUAAUCAUCAACAUCAUCUCGGUUCUUCACAGAUGUGCUUCAAUUCGGGCAAUUGAGACUAACUCAAUCUCAGACUUUCGGAAGUUGGUGGCGUAUUGGGUUCUAUUUUCCUUGAUUUCACUCUUUGAUCAUGCUUUUUCCAAGCUCCUUGAAUGGUAAUUUUGCUCAACUGCAUUCCACUAUAUGUGACUCUGUUUGUUUCAUUUCUUUGCCCUUAAGGAAUUUGGAGUUGCUUUUUUCAGUUUUCUUUCCUAUGAAAAUAAUCGAGAGGUCUCCAUGUAUUUUAUAUUCCUUCAUUUCUCUGCUUUGACAAAGGCCCACAUUCUGAUCAGCAGAAAGGUUAUAACAUUUGAAAAAGAAGUGCUUUAUUUUUGUUUUUUGUUAGUACAAUAAUUUUCGUUUGGAUAAAUGGUCUGAAGGGUGUUUGUGUUUGGCUGAGUUCAUGGAAUUUUCUAGCUAAUUUGGGAUUUAUUCUCAAUUUCAAGAUCAUUGUGGAUAUGUCAGAAAUUAAUGAAAUAUAAACGGUGGAAUGUGAUUUUCUUGUUUAAGAAAAGUUUUUCUUUGAAAAUACGGGUGCACCUGACCUACCUUAUUGUGCUACUUGGAACACAAAACAUUAGUACAGGUAAUUUAUUAACUAAAUUGUACACUUUUUGAUAGUUCAAGGAGGUGGUUUUCUUCUUUUAGGGUGUCAGCUUUGGAAAUAGGAUGGAUCUAAAAGUUUUUAUGUCUCAUCUUUAUAGGGAACUUGAAAGCAUGGAUGCACUUAUUUCCAUGGAAUUUGGCUUCCUUGAAAUCAAAUUAAGCUUUAUGCAUCAUUUGGAUGCUGAGAAACAAAUGGAAAUAGAAAAUUCAGAAUCUGACAAGUUUUUGUAGGGCAACUGGAUCUAAUCUCUUAGUCGAAGCCUAAUUGGGGCAAAUGCUGAUCAUCUUUGGACCCCAUUGAAAGCUCUAAUCUGUGCACAAUUCUAAUGUUUUUGUUUUCUUCAUUUCUUUUUCAACUUUUCACAAUAGAUGUCAAAGGUUAAAACCAAAUUUACGCAGUCCAUCCAAGUGGAUGCAUAUAAAUUUAACAGAAACUGAAAUUCGAAGAAAUUUAUUUUCCCUUUUGUAAAUGGUGUUUAAAUAUUUUAUUUUCUUAUAUAAUGCAUGUCAGGGUACCAUUCUGGCCUUACAUAAAGCUGAUGGUCAUCUGCUGGCUGGUGAUACAGCAGUUUGAUGGUUCAUAUUAUGUCUAUCAACACCUAGUUCAGCCAUGCUUGUCCAUGGAUCCACAAGCUGUCAUGAACUGGCUCUUCAAUGAAUCAAAAAAGAAGUUUCAUAGCAGAGAAAACUUUCUUGUUUCAGCAGACCGAUAUAUUAAGGAGAAUGGACCUGAAGCUUUGGAGAAACUACUUUCUAGGAAGGUAUGCCAUUAUAAGUAGGAUUAUCAACAAGUCAAACAGAGUUUUAUUUGAGAUGUUCAGGUAAAAAAUGACUAUAGUAGGUCAUCUAGAAUCAUUUGGUCUAAAUUCAUGUAUAUAUCUAUAUAUAAUUGUGUUCUCUUUUUUUCACAUAUGCAUGUGCAUUUAGAUUUACAUAAUUAUAUAUGCAUAAUCAGAUUCAACUGUGAUAGCCCGGAAUUAUUUCAGUAAUCAACUCUUCUGGGAACAUGUUGGUUAUGGUUUCUCUCUCACUGUCCUCUUCUUUAUACAUGACUUUGGCUUCAGUUGAGGAGCGCAAAGCCUAAUGUUGAAGUGAAAAAGAUCAAAGCACCUGCAGCACCGGAGAAAAAAGGGGAACAGGUAAGUUCUCUAAUGUGACUAUUUAAUUUCUAUGAGGCAGAUCCCCAGAGAAAUGUUGCUCAUGUAAAUUACUGAUGCAUUUGAUUCAAUGGCAUGGUUUUAAAAGAAAAACCACUUUAUGUAUGUUUCUGUGAAUAAGAGAACAAGUUUAUGGAUUAAAUGAUAUUUUUUAUGGUGGAUUAAUCAAUAAUUUUCAAAAUAAUAAUAUAUUCGUGCAUGUUUUUGCAAUUCAUGAAUUCCUUUUAUGAUUGAUUCUUCUUGCCUUUUUUCUCACCUCAGUGGAAGUGUGAAGAGCCUAAUGUUGCUCAAAAGGAGAUCCAAGUUGUCAAAGUAACAGAGAUAAAAAAUGGGGGGGAUGGAGCAAAGAGGGUAAGUUUUGCUUUUUAUUUAUAAAGUAGGCUGUCUUCACACAAGGAUUAUUAUCUUUAAGACAUGAAUGUUGAAUGCUUUUGGAAUUGUCCAUGAAUCAUGUGUAGUGUGAAUGGCCUAAUGCUGCUAAGAAGGAGGUCAAAGUGACAGAAGUAACACACAGAACAUUCGGUGGUACAGCACAGUGGGUAAGGUUUCAUGUCAUAUUUAAAUGGCUCCUCAUAUUUCACUAGGAUUAAUUUUGCCCCUACAAACAUAUUUGGCUACAAGUUAAGACAGAGUUCCAGAUGCUGAUAAAGUUGAGACAUAAGUAAUGAAUGAGUUUAGAAACAUGCACAACUCUUGUGUGAAACACAAUGAGAGUGGAAAAUAGCUAAGUUGAAAAAUGGCCAAAUACUAUUUUGUAGUUCCCCCUACCACUUAAGUAAUUUUUGUCAUCCUUUGUGAAUGGAAAAUCCAGUCCCUUCAGUAAUUCCGUUAUAUUCAUGACUUGGUGAAGCAUAUAACCAUUAGUGUCUUGCCUUAAGUCGACCUUUAAUGAUGAUCCAUUGAGAUGGGUCUGACUUUUGUCAACCCUCUUAUUCCCUUGAUCAUAGAGGUUAAACUUAGGGGGCUUAACCCACUUUUGAACCUUAUUGGAUAUAUGGCACAUGGUAUCCUCUUCAUCUUGAAAGAGUGAAGUGGUCAUACUCUUUCCUCUGAGUCCAUUGUGGCCAUGCACUUCUGGCCCAUUGGGCUGAGUGAAAGGAUUCCCUUCUGCUUCAAAUCAUAGAGAGAUAUGCCAUGGUCAGCCUCUUUAAUUCAAGGGAUCGAAGUACUCAAAUCCAUUUCUCUGCAUCCAUCUUAAUUCUGCAUUCAUGUCUCAUGGUUAACCAAGAAGAUCCAGCUUCCAUCCAUGAGAUCAGCAUCUGCAGGUUUAUGACACCACCCUUCCUUGGCAUAGGAAAGGGAUCAUUAAGCCAUGUGUUGGAUGACAGAAGUCAUCAUUCAGGUUAUCUUGAGAACUAAGGAAGUUGGAAUUCUAAUUAUUGCAUAUGGUUCUUGAUGUUUAGCCAAUAUACCGUAGGAUUUUAAGGAUCAUGCUCAUGUGCAUUGUGGUUGUUUAUCAGCUAUAUGGUUUACCAAAAUGAGGGACUGAUUAUGGUCAUAAGUACCUUUUUCCUAUUAAUUUCUUGCAUGUGCUCUGCUGAGAUUAUGUUUUUGACAGUCCAAAUCAGGGCAAACCAACAAACAGCUUUAUGUUAACUUUUACAAACUGCCACAUUUUCAGGUUAAACGAACAGAGAUAAAUCUUGGUGAAACUAGAAGUAAUACAACUUGUGCUGUGGAGAUAAAAGAAAGGGCAGCGGCACUGGUGGCUGCAGAAAUUGAGGCAUGUAGAGACGAUAGAACCCCCAAGAUACCUCUUCAUGAGAAAGUCCAGAAAGAGUGGGCUUGUGCUGUAUGCCAGGUCACAACCCAAAGUGAAGCGACCUUCAAUUCCCACCUUCAAGGGAAGAGACAUCAGGCCACUUCUGAGCAGCUGAGAGCCAAAAACCAGGCAACCAAAACCAAUUGUUCCCCAUCUGCUUCAAUGGCCAAGAAAUCUGAUCAGUCCACCAAAGAGGAGCAACCGAAGUGUACUUCCAACAAUCUGAAUUCCAAAAACAAUGGAAUCUCAGCUGCUUCAACAGUGAAGAAACCUGAUGACACCAAAGAUGAUGAGCGACAAAAGUCUGCAUCUAGCAAUGAACCGAACCAGAAGAAUAACAAAAAGCAAGAGGUACAGACCAAUGAGCAAGGCCAUCAGAAGAACUUAAAGCAAACUGGCGAUGGAAUGAAAGAGUUGAGAUUAUGCUGCAAUAUCUGUAAUGUAAGCUGCACAAGUGAGCUUGACAUGGCCUCUCAUCUCAAUGGAUGGAGGCACUUUAAUAUGAUAAAGGAGGCGUCUGAAUUAUGGUGCAGUAACUGCAAUGUAAGGUGCAACAGUGAGGCUGUCAUGGCCUCUCACCGAAAUGGGAGGAGGCACUUGAAGCAGCUGAAGGAACGGUCGGGAUUAUAGUGCAGUAUCUGUAGCGUGAGAUUGUGUUAGGAAGAGGUGGAAUGGGUUCCAAUCAGGAAUUAAGACUCGGUUCCAAGACAUGGAAAGUGUCUUUAGAUUAUGUUAUCUCCAUUUUUUUUAUUGUGAGAGGGGAGUAUAAGGAAUGAAAAUAAAUAUAUAUAUAUUUUUUAAUAGAGAUGAAUUUGAUAAUUUUAAUUAUUGUGUUUUGAUGUAUUUAGGAAUGUAAAAUUAAAAUAAUUAUUUAUUUUCAUUUUAGUAUUUGACAAUAAUAAAAUUAUGAAUUAAAAAAUAAUGUGAUAAUAAUACAUUUAUAUUUAAUUUAAAAUAUUUUUUAUUUUAUUUUAGAAGAAUAUGGGUUAAAUUCUUUUUUUAAAUAAUAAGCUUAAGAAAAAUAAUUUUUACUCAAUAAAUAAAAUUAAUCAUAAAAAGUCAUAACAACCUAAUAAAAAUAUAGGGGUAAAAUAAUAAUUUUAAAAUAUUAUUUAAGUUAUCCAAACAAAUUUGACUCUUCAUUCUCUCUCUUGAACCAAAUACGGUCUUUUAAGCGUUUGUCAACUUAUUUUUUUUUGCAAAAUAUCAAUAUUUUACUAAUAUUUUUAUCGAUUAUUUGCCAAUAUUUAUCGCCACGUCACCAAUUCUUUGAGUUUGACUUUCAAAAUUUUGAAAUGAUAUUUGAAGUCCAGUUCAGCCCAAAUCACUACACCCAUGAUUUUUCCCUUUUCUUUUUCUCCUUAAUUUUCACAUCACCCAACAACACUACUCUUAAUUCACACAAAUUUGAAGGUUUGGAACGAGACUUCUUCCUAAUUAUAUUGUAAUUAUGUUAUAAUAACCAUGUCGUAUUUGGAUUUAUUUAUUCAGUCCAUCUAAAUCUUUUGUUUAUUCAUGUAAAAAGAAUAUAGUUAUAAUCGAAUCCAUUUGUGACAUAUUCAUCUUUUAUAAAUUUAUUAAUUUUAUAUAUUUAAAAACUAUAAAAAUUAAAUAUAUUUUUUCAAUUAUGAAUAUCAUAUUACUAAAAUAUUAAAUAACUAAUUAACUUGAAAUGUUUUAUAUUUCAUUCAUUAUUUUAUAAUUACAACAUUAAGUGAAAUAAUAAAUAGGUUAAAAUAUAUAUUUUAUUUUAGUUAAAAAUUAUAAAUUGUUAUUGAGACGUAUAACUAUUAAAAUUCUACCCAUUUGACCAUCAAACAAACAACUUAAGUUUUUAGUCAUAAUUUAAGCUUCUGAUAAACUCUAUUUCCAUAAAUUAGAAACCGAAAUCAAUUUCUUCUUAGACUCAAAAACAUAAAGACAAUCUUUUAAUUCUAGAAGACAUCUAUCAUUUAAGAUAAGGGUAACAUAUCCCAUUGCCUAAACAACAACUCUUGCUUCAAAAGCCAAUGUCAAGUACAUAUCCCUAUCAUUCAACCUUUCCCUUAGCUAAAACCCCUAUAAAGAAUUAUAAACAUAAUCAAUGGCUCCAAAAUUUAUCCACCAAGAGUUAGUGGAAUCCAACACUAAACAUAAUUCAACUAUAAGAGAAUGAUGCAUAGUUGACUAUCUCUUCAAGAACUAAGGACAUUCCUUCUUCUUCUAAUGGCAUUUUUUACCACAAAGGAAACACUUGUCAUGACCCUUACUCUUCUUCUUCUUCCCCUUAGCCUUAAACUUCCCCUUCUGCUUGAUGAACUCUAUAGUGUUCUUCUUAUUUUGGCUAGAAAAACCUAAAGAACCCUUAACUGCCAUAUAAAUACCUCUCUGGUCCUUGAGAAUUCCCUCAGUCAUUUUGUGUUCUCUCAUUAGUUCAAUUGUAGUUUAAGAAAAAUAAUGUUUUUUAUUUUAUUUUAUGUGAUUGAACUUGGAAUGAAUUUCCAAGUUGCAUACAUACUUGGGUUGAGAUCAAGUCAUAACGUAGUUUAAGAAAAAGAUUUUUUAUUUUUUAUGUGAUUGAACUUGGAAUGAAUCUCUAAGCUACCUACGUAUCCAAGAUGGGAUCAAGUUCUAACAUAGUCACAAUGCAGUUCAAGAUUUUUUUUUUUCUUUUUUUGUGCUCUAACUUUUGUCAAGACUAAAGAUCUUAAUCUUGCAAGCAUGUCCUAACUUUUGUCUAGGUCACCUUUCCAAGUUUUCAACUUAGCAAACAUUUUUUUUUUUUGUUCUCUAACGUUUGCCAAGACAAAAGAUUUUAAUCUUGCAAGCAUGUCAUAACUUUUACCUAAGUCAGAUUUUUAGGUUUUCAAUGUGGUGGAUUUUUUUGUUUUUUAUUUUUUAUUUUUUAUUUUUUGUGUCGUAGGCAAUUUAGCUCAUACGGCCCAGAAGCGAUGUGUAGUUUGUUGGGAUUCAACCCUUAAAAGCAAAACAUGAUGUAACAAAGUUAGACUUAACUAUCCCCUUGCUAUCAUUUUGGUGUAUUAACAUUGAUUUAAACAUUCAACUCAUAUUUUACAUUGUACAUGACUUAGGUGCAUUAGGAGUUGCUCAUAAGAUACAUGGAUUCCUUGUAAGUAGAUGAGUUAUCCAUAGUCAGUUCAUGGAUUUGGGCAAUCUAGUAGAGACUGUAAUGCACCACCUCUUAAUUGAAGAGAUGACUUGUCUUGACAGUUGGGAUAGGUUUCCUAUGGUGAGUGCACUAGUAUAUAUGAUGCACAUUGGAUAGGACCUACGGUAAAUCAUGAGCAAAGCUAUCAAUUGUCAUGAUUCACCAAGUUACGAUACUGCAUGGACUCUCAAUCUUGAGAGGACAUUGAACCUGUGCCAAAAUCAACAAAAAGCUUUCACCUAUAGAUGAGACCUUAAAGUGAUCAUAUAUCCCUAUGGAUUGAGUCACUAUUGAUGAAGGUUGGUGGUAAUAGGUAUUCUCAAUAGAGGCACCAUGAUAUCUCAUGAGAUUGAGACGGUGUGUCCCCUUGGGUGAUACAAAGGACAUGUGAUCAUAAAAUCUGUGACCAUAGUAAUUCUUUUAUUGAAAUUUGACAUAUACCCCUUCGAGCUAGAGUAUGUCAGUUGAUUACAUAAUAAGUGGCAUCUAUAACUUAAGGAUUUGAGAGGUAAUCUUGAUAGGUGAUAGCACUACCUUGUUAGAUUAUGGACACCAGUUCAUGGGGAAUCUACAUGCAGUGGAUGAUAUGUCACGAACGCGAGCUUCAUAUCGUUGUUAUUAACAUAGGAUACUGGAGUGCAAUUGAUUCUCUUUAGUAGAAUGUUGAAUCAACUUCAAAAUGGAUUAUGAGGGAGCCAAUACUCCUAUGGGUCUUAAUGGUCCCCACUCUGAGCUCAUAUACCAUGAUGACACAGUUUAUGAGGGUUUGAUUGGCUUUAUGUUCAUUUUUGUGCAUAAGGGCAUUUUGGUAAUUACACAAGGUUACAUAGGGGAUAGUCAAUAAGGUCUUUAGAUUGGGCCAAUUGAUUAAUUAGAUGACCUUAUGUGGUUAAUUAAUCAAUUAUGAUAUGUUUAGGCUAGAUUAAAUGACCCAAGCCUUGAUGAAUUUAAGUCACUUAAGCCUAGCAGAUAACCUUAUAAAUACCCUCUUAUGGGUUAGGGUUUCCUAAUGACUUUCAGUUAAUCAUCUUCCAUCCCUAGAAAGAGAAAGAGAGCCAAAUCUUUCUCCCUUCCAUUGCCCACACUUUGGUAUGCCAAGAUCAUGGUUCAAGUCACUGGGAGGAAGAUCUUGGGUGUACAAGACCUUCGGACUCUUUAAGUUUCUUCUUCGUUGGAUGAAUUUUUAUUUGGGACACAUCUAGAUCAUAAGUAUGUGUUAGAAAAUUUGGCUAAUUCAACUUAAGGUAAUCACUCUAGAGGAGGGGUGAAUAGGGUGAUGAUCUUUUUUUACAAAUUUAAAUUAUGUGAAUGCAAGAGACAAUUAUACUAUGCAAAUAUAUAGUAAAACCAUAUAAAAAUAAUUGCAUAUAAAGUACAAGGGUAGAAAAUAGAGAAUAUAAACACAAGAUUUUUAUAGUGGUUUGGUGCAACUCGGCCUACAUCCAUUCUCCUCUAGCUUCAAUCCCAAGUUUGAGGUUCCACUAAUUCAAGGCUUCCAACCUAACCCUUCAAGCAAUACAAUUGGAUUAUGGUUCCAAUCAAACCUUUUGGACUUUUGGCUCUAAGCACCUUUUACAAUCUUUGAUUCGUGCCUAACUGGUGUUUGCCCUGUUGAUUGGUGUUCAAUCAACUGAUGUGCUUUGAUUUCAGUCCUCAGACGAGAGUAAUCAACAAAAUUUAUAAACCUAUUUCACCAUAUACUAGGGUAGCAUUAGCUAGCAUAGCAUAGUGGCUCUAGGAUCGUCCACAGGGAUGGGUUUUCAAAUUACAAUUGAUAUUAGUUCAAAAACUGAAUUGGUGUUUUUUCUUUUCAAGGUUAGCUUUAAAAGAAAACAUAAGUAUGUGUGAAAAGGUUGGUUUUAAGUGAAACCAAAAAUAAAGUAACUGAAAUUACUUACAAAGAAAAGUGCUUCUUGGAGUUUUAGAUCACUAGGCUCAAGUUCCUUAUACAAAAAGAGAGAUUCCGAUCACUUGGAUCUUUUCCUAGCAUUGGGGAUUUAACAUAUAGUUAUUUCCCGAACCGGUGCGGUACAGAUGCUUCCCCUUAAUGGUUUCAAACACUAAAUCUCUAUCACUGAAUCAUCUUGUAAUGGUUCAUACCUCUCACCUGGUAUUGGUCAUUUAAGGUGAUCAUUAACCUUGGAUUACCCGUCAAAAGCUCGCAAAAGAUAACUAAUGAAUGUCUCCUAGGAGUCCAAAAGCUUACCAAGUGUUGGCUAUUCUAGAUAAUCCUACCUUUAAACCAUCUCCCAAAAGCUCGCAAGAGAUAAACUAGUGGAUCUCAAUGGACGGAGUCCACUUGCCUUACCAAGUGUUGGCCCAAGUGAUUUUAAGGGAUUUUAAGUUAACUAAAAAGAUAAAAACCAUUAACGGGUCACACUUUCUCUUCAUUAAAACCUGAAACAAUGAAACUUCCACUUUUGUAUACGAAACCUUACCUAGCUUCCUUCACUCCAAGAAACAAAAAGCCUAGCCACUCAUCCUCUAGGAAAACAUCCUCAGAGUUUGAUUUGGUAGAAAUAAAAAUAAAAGAGAAAACCAAAUGUGAAGGUAAGGCCGAGCAGAGCUCUGUGUAUUACUUUAUGAAAAACUAUACAAAAUUUGUCUCUAAGAGAAACUCCCCCGAGAUCUCUUUUAAAAGAAAAUUACAAUAGAUAUCAUAUAAAGAGGCUAUUCACCCCUCUUGCUAACUUCCCAACCAUGAAAACUUGUCAAUGGUGGGUUACAAGGAGAAAAUAGGGAUUUACACACAAAUAUUUGAAGAUAAACAUCAAACUGAGUCGGUGCGCAAAUAUCUCAGAUUACAAGUGGAUUUCGCAAGUUCAAACGCAACUUGCAAAAAUUUUGCAAGUUGAAAUUAUGGUUUCGCAAGUUGCGAAAUUGUCCUGCAACUAAUCAGCUCUCUGUCCUACAACAAUUCCUUUCCUCUUCCUAUUUCGCAAGUUGUGAGAAUUUCGCAAGUUGGAUUCCACAACUUGCAAAAUUGUUGGAUGGUUGAUUUCUUUUGUGAUUUUCUUCCUUGCAUCCUCAUUUGGCUUUGGCAAAGGGUUAUGAAGCUCCAAAGCUUAGUUUCUUCAUGAAUUUGAGCUUCAACUUGCUUUGCCAUGAACUAUACAAAGAUCUCCCUCAUUCUUGGAUUGCUUUGGUGAUAAAAAAGCUAUGAAAAACACCAAAACUUAACACAAUUUGAUUAGAAACGAUUGUAAGGGUCUUUAACAUGCCAAUUGAGUUAAAAGGUAAUAGCUACUACUCAAAAGUGUUUAAAAGAGUUAAUUACAAGCUAUAAAAUGACCCUUUUUGAAGUUCAACCCCUUAAGUGAUACCCCUUAAGUGAUACCCCUUAAUUCAAGAGAUGUCUUACUCUUAAACAACCCCUUAAGUGAUACCCCAUACUUGAGAUUCCCUAAGUGAUGCCUCACACUUAGAUUUUUCAUCUCAAAGAUUUACAAAUGAAGAUAGGAAAUAAUCUCACAAAAUCUUAAUACAAAACAUUAGGCUCAAAUGAUACAAGAUAAACUAUGAUUGAAUGGUGCACUAAUAAUAUGCAAGUUUUAAAACAAUGAGUACUAAAAAACACUCUCCUAAGGUUCAAAUAUAUUCAAGAAAGAUUUAAGAAGGUUAAACUCUUGAAACAAUAAAGAUUGAAACCUUUUUAUGGAGGAGAAAUGCCAAACUAGUUGUUGGGGGUUUGUCCAGUCGAGUUCUGGUUUGACCGGUUCACUAACCGUUAGCAUUUAAUGCAUGAUAGGUGAUCAUUGGGCCUUGACCAUCCCUCGACCAGUACUCAACCGGAUAAAGUUCAACCUUAAUCAAUCGAAUAAGCAUUCUAGAAUAGAGAGAAGGUUUUUGCACCUUUCAAUCAGUUGAGUUGAACAAAUAGACGGAUUCCUUAUCCAGUUCAACCGGUUGAGCCAUUUUUGGCUCAACAAUCAUCAUUUUCAACUUAAAACCUUUUAAACAAGUUUAGAAAGCAUUUGACACAAGGAUUUAGUUGAAAACAUUAAAUCAUCCUAUUUUUAAAAGAUUUAAAACAAAAUACCUCUUGAAUGAUUUUGGUGUAUAAGUAAAUAAUGUAAUGCAUGAAAAACCCAGUGCGCCAACAACCUUACAAAGAGAUCUUAUGAGGCUUAGGUAUUGAAAAACACUUCUCUUUAAGGCAGACAACAUCGUGUGAAUACCAAAGGGGAACUCUACGUUCCUAGGGAAAGAUGCCUCGUCAGUACGUCUUGAGGUUGUUCACUAACUUCGGGGUUACCGGCUUUGAGAGGAGCCCUUUGAUGACAUUUGGGCAUGCAACUCUUCAUUUUCUUCCUUGAUUCGCCUUGUUUGGUGGAUCAAAGAUUGCAUAUGCCAGUCAUUUUUGCACUAGGUUCUCUCCAUGCUUUCACGCCAGCCAAAGUAGCUUUCGUUACCCAUAGUUGAGGAUCGGCUUCUAAAGGGUACUAACAUCCUUAGUCAUUCCCACAGAUGACACCAAUGUUGGUUCUGAGUCGGCUGAAGUCAAAUUCAUCCAACUUAACGGAAGUUUGACAACCUUCCUCCAUUUUUUGUGCCUCUUAGAGAAUCCACCUAGCAGUAAUGAGAUUGGGCGAACUCCUUUCUUGCACAAAAGAAUGUUCAGAUGAGUACUUCGGGUACGCCCUUCGAAGCUUAAGUGAGGCAAAAAUAGCUCAAACUACUUAAUGAGAGAGAGUGGAUAGGUGAAUAUGUGCCUACCUUGUUCGUGCUUUUUGAGGGGUUUAUAUAAUGUUGAUGAGAAUGCCACUAUAGUGCUUACUAGACACUUUAACUUUCUUCUAUAAUGAUGAUUGUCUUGCAGGCGGUUGGGCAAUCAUCAAAAUUUUGGGUGGCUGAUAGGUGCCAUCAACUAACGUGCCAUGAUCUUAGACCAUGCAGUAACCUGUUCCCUCAGUCUGUUGAUGGCCUAAGGUUAUGUGCAACAAUUAAUUGACAUGGACUUGAGGGCUAGAAGAGGUCCCAUCGGCCGUUCACAUGUCAAGUGUGAAUGAUCACUCAUGCUAGUGGGUCUUGAAGAUUUGACUAGACAACCUUACCUAUUUGGGAGGUCCAACCUCCCAUUGCCGUUGUUUUGGCCUUAUAGGAGAAAAGGGCUUUCUCAUGUAUGGUGCUAGAGGGACUAGUCGUGAUCCAGAUGAGUUGCAUACCCAUGCUAGAUGGUCGAAGUGUCCGGGUUGGAAAUGGAGGGAAGCCUCCCACAAAUAUGAGGGAGCCUUAUGAAAACGGAUCCUUAGGGCUUAAGAAGGGGUUUUCAAUUUUAAGGUUUGCCUUUUCACCCAAGGAUGUGAAUGGGAAGAUGAGGCGAAGUUAAAAGAUUGGUGAAGCAAAGUGAGGGCAAGGUAGGGUUUGAAUAAAGGAAAGUAUACACUAUUAAUGAAGAUGAUAAUCUCUAGAAAGAAAAACUAAGGUAAACUAGGGCUUUAAUAAUAAUUUUCAAUCUACACUAGUGAAGAGGAUAUCUUCGAAAACCAAAGUUAGGGCUUCAAUAACGAAUUUCAAUCUACAAUGGUGAAGACAAUAAUCUUCGAAAACCAAAUCUAUAAUGAUGAAGAUGAUUGAAAACUAAAUCUAUACUAGUGAAGACGAUUGGAAAGCAAAUCUACACUGGUGAAGACAAUGAAACCAAAUGUAGGUCUUCUAAACUAAACGCUUUUAAGGAUUUUCCUUUUUUUUUUCCUUUGUUUUCAAGAAAGGCAAACUCUUUAGAAAACUAAAAAAACUAAUGCAUUCUUAGAUCCAGAUCACUAUUUCCAACAUGGUAUUUGGAUUGCCAGCUUGCAUUUUUUAUUUUUUUAUUUUUUUAAUAGUCAUUGGCAUUUUAGGGAUUAUUGAAGGAUAAUAUCAUUCAGCUCAAUUUCCCAAAUUAGUUAGGUCUUACACUCAAAUGUGAAACUUAUAUGGAUGUUAGGCCAAUUAUCAAACUCAUCUGCCCUAAAACAUAAUUUCCCUUUUUUAAAAUAGUUGUUAAACAUCUAUCCCAAACACGUUUAACCCUUUGAAUUGCUUGUAUGUUAACCUUGUUUCCUUUUCUUCAUGCAACAUGGCUUAUUGAUGGUUGCAUUGAAUCAUUAUCAUUCACCAAUUCCAUGCAACUAUGGACUACAUUUCAAAUCCCUCGAACAUAAAUGGUAAUUCCAAAACAACUCAAGUAUAAUCUUUUCAACCCUUUCAAAUGAUUUAAUUAAUUGAUUUUUGAAUAUAUUCAUAUAUUUUUUUGAGCAAUUUUUAGGCAUAUAACAUAAAUCUCUUUUUUAUAUAUAUAUAAAAGGUUUUAUAUUUUAUAUUACAAUUUCCUUUUGUUUUUUCAUCUAAAAAACAAAACAUAAAACCUUAAUAAACGAGUUUUGUCACAAUCCCUUAACAAGUAAUCUAUUUUUUAAAUUACUUUAACAUUUUUAGAUAUAUUGAUUCAAUCUAAUUUACUUUUAAUAUUUUUUAUAAAAUAUUUUUACUUUAUAUGACUAUAAAUUAAUUACUAUUGAUUGCAUAUUAUAGAAUAUAUAUUCUAAAAUAUAUCUUAUUGACAAUAUAAUCAUAAGAUGUUAUAUCCAUAUCCUAACAUAUUAUAUACUUUUAUUUUGUGCAAUUAGCAACAUGGUGGGAAGUGGCAAGCAGCUUAACGGAAAUGUCAUGUGCCAAUGUGCCAUGCGUGUCCCUUCCCUUAGUGAGUCUGAACUGCUCCAACAUUUCCGACAUGUUAUUUUUUACUUAGCUCUUAAGUAUUUUCGUCUCGUUUUCGUUAACCCCAUCACAUUUCGCCACAUGGAUCUAAGCCUCAUGGUCCUUUCGUUCGUACAAUGAAUGUUCCCCCAAUUCCUUAUCUACACUAAAACUCCAUACUCGCCAUCUACUCAACCACUUCUCUACUCUAGAGUUUGGGUCCUUUAUCUCUGCACGUGUCUAUGGCUUUUCACCCCAACAAGUAUGGCAUUACAAGGGCAAUAUCGUCAUUAAAGACCCAAAAGGGAAACCAAUGGCAUUAUCUUCCUUUUGGUCUAUUCUAUUUAUAUUGUAAGUUAUUCGUGAUGACUUCUCCCAUAAAAGCUAAAAACCACUCCAAUAGAGCACACUUCACUUCUUCAUUUUUUUUUUUCCAGAUAAGCUCAGAAAGCCCAGCUCAUCCCUCAACUCCCCGAUGGGUUUGAUGAAUGUUCUUAAAUUCUCAACUGCAUGCUUUGAUCUUCUUAUCUGGUAUAUUGUCCACGCAUUUUCUUGUCAUUGGAAAAUUUUGGAAAAUGAAAUGGAAUUCUAUGUUUGAUGACAAAACUGGGAUUUGCUUUGAUUUCUCCAUGUUGGUUUUAUCCCUUUUGUUUGAAUUGUCCACAUUCUUGUCAUUGGUUGUUAGUUAUUUGUUUGGAUUUCUACUUGUAGGCCUCUGUUUGCACUGGGUUAUCCUCUAUAAAUCUUGGUCUUACACACCAAGAUAUGAUGAUUCAUUUACUCUUUUCUUGUUCUAUGAAUUCUUAGUUCUGUUACAUUUAUUGGGUUGGAAAACUGAAAAAGGAAAGGAUUAUUCGUUAUUAUCAUAAUAAUCAUCAACGUCAUCUCAAUUAUUCACAGAUGUGCAUCAAUUCAGGUAAUUGAGACUAACUCGAUCUCAGACAUUCAGAAGUUGGUGGCAUAUUGGGUUCUAUUUUCCUUGAUUUCACUUUUUGAUCGUACUUUUUCCAAGCUCCUUGAAUGGUAAUUUUGUUCAACUUCAUUCCAUCAUAUGUGGCUCUAUUUGUUUCAUUUCUUUGCCCUUCAGGAAUUUGGAGUUGCCUUUUUUAGUUUUCUUCCCUGUGAAAAUAAUCGAGAUGUUUAAUGUUCCAAGCCUCCAUGUAUUUUAUUUUCCUUCAUUUCUCUGCUUUGAUAAAUCCCCAUGAUUUGAUCAGCAAAAAGGCUAUAACAUUUGACAAAGAAAUGCUUUAUUUUGGUUUUUUAAGUACAACAAUUUUCAUUUGGAGAAAUGGUCUAAAGGGUAUCGGUGUUUGGAUGAAUCAUGGAAUUUUCUCGCUAAUUUGGGAUUUAUUCUCAAUUUCAAUAUCAUUGUGGAUAUUUCAAAAAUUAAUGAAAUAUAUAUGAUGGAAUGUGAUUUUCUUGUUUAAGAAAAGUUUUUCUUUAAAAAUUUAGGUAACCCUGACCUACCUUAUUGUGCUACUCGAAACACAAAACAAAAGUACAAGUAAUUUAGUAACUAAAUUGCACACUUUUUGAUAGUUCAAGGAAGUGGUGUUAGCUUUGGAAAUAAGAUGGAUCUACUAGUUUUUAUUUCUCAUCUUUAUAGGGAACUUUCCAUAAUAUAGCUUAUAAAUACCAUAAUCACAGUGAUGAAUAAUUGUCUUGUUUGAAAGCAUGGUUGCACUUAUUUGCAUGGAAUUUGUCUGCGUUGAAAUUAAAUUAAGCUUUAUGCAUCAUUUGGAUGCUGAGAAACAAAUGAAAAUAGAAAAUUCAAAAUUUGACAAGUUUGUGUAGGGAAAUUGGAUCUAAUCUCUUAAUCGAAGCUUAAUUAGGGCAAAUGUUGAUCCUCUUUGGACCUAUUGAAAGCUCUAAUCUGUGCACAAUUCUAAUGUUUUUGUUUCCUUAAUUUCUUUUUCAACUUUUCAACAAAGCAUCAAUUUGCUAUAAUAAAUGAGAACCAACUUGACGAUGAGAAAAAUGACUGGUGAUGAUGUCAUAGAGAAUCGCAGAUGAGAACAACCAAAAAUACUAGGAUUGGUACCACUGAUGGUAAUGAAGAAAACACAAAAAUGGUGCAAAUGGUGAACAGGAAACUCAAAAUGGAAUGGGAAAAGAAACCUAAACAAUAGUCUCCUAUAUAAAGCACACAACAUGUACAUCGAGGCAUCUGAAAGGACACGCUGCCUGAGAAGUCACUCUAAUUGAUGUGACUCCUCAUGACGUGGGUGGUGGACAUAUGUCCCAUGGUGCCAAAAAUUUCAAACACUCAAGCAACCGAAUACUUUCACUUAGUCAUUUAAAGCCUAGCUAGACUCAAUUGCAAGAAUUAAGGGCAUUGUGGGAUGCUCACCACCGUCUAUCAUGGUCCUCAAACACUGUCUGGUGUGAGACAUAUUGGCACAAGAGCCAUGUAGCUUCUCUAUCCACCCCAAGAUACUCCUAGGGUAGCAAACGAACACAAUCCGACCAAACACUAUGCAUUCCUACCCUACAAGCAUUAAUUUCAAUGAGCAAUAAGUGUAUUAACACAUUAAUGAAUGCAACCGUUAUAACGCUAAAACGCCAUACUUUAAGGUUCAUCAAGACACAACAACCAUUAUGGGCCGACAAUUAUUGGCGUUAAAUAUGGUAAUGCGCAAUCAAAGGCUCAAUUAAGGCCCUUUAGAAGACGUUACUAUUGGGCAAAGAUAAAUAACCAUUUUUUACCACAAGAAAGUCUGAUGCCAUUUUUUUCACAAAAACUUUUGCUUAAGUCUUCCAUCUCUAACCUAAGCUUUGAAGGGGUGUACUUGGAAAACCUAUCCGAACAUUCCUUUAUGUAGGUGCAAUCAUCGUUUAUGUCACGCGAAGGCUAGUCAAAGACCUUUAUUGGUCGUGCACCAAUAAAUCUAUUUAGUAUAUCUCAUUUAUCCGUUCAAGUGAGAUGAAGGAGUGACCUAAAGAUAGAUUGGAAACAUCAUAGUUUCUUAUAUUGGUAAGGCAGCAACAACCUCGGCUAGUGCAUCAACCUGCUCGUUUUCCUCUAGGGGUACGCGUUUGAUAAACCAUUCAUUCAAUUUUUCUGUUCAAGUGUACCAAAGAGAGGUAAUGAGCCAUGCAUUCAUCUCAAGCUUCAUAUUUUAGUUAGAUUUGUUCACCCACUAGUUGUGAAUUGCUUUUGAUUUCUACUUUCAUGGUUGUGAGAGCUAAGGCUAGAUCGUCUCAUAAGAAUUGCUUCAUAUUUUGCCUCAAUAUUAGAUACUGGAAAGUUGAGACAGACGACUUGUUCAAUUUGCUCUCCUGUAAGGAAUUGUUGUGUUAGUCCUAUCCUAGCUUCUGAUGUUCUAGAGGCUUCGUCUACAUGGAGAACACGCCAUUGUUCUUCAUUGUUAGACCUUGUCCAUUUUUGGGGUGGUUCGACUAUGAAAUCAAUGAGAACUUGCUAUUUGAGAUACUAAUGAGGUUUGUACCGUAUGUAAUAUUCACUCAAUUUGAUUGCCCAAUUCACCAUUCGACUAGAUAGAUUUAGCUUGUGCAACGUGACCCACAACGGUUGAUUUGUCAAGACCGUUAUUUGGUGCGCCUGAAAAUAUGGACAAAGCUUCUUGGCAGCGAUCCGUAAGUUCAGAGCCAUUUGUUCCACUUAAGAAUAUCGUGUUUUUGUGUCAAUCAUAGCUUUUCUCACAUAGUAAAUAAGUCUUUGUUCAUUACUCUAAUUGUGUGGAAACAAUAUGACAUUGACAGCAAAGUUUGACACAACCAGGUACAUGUAUAACUCUUCUCUAGCUUCAAGACUACUUAAGAUUGGUGGCUUCGUAAGAUACUGUUUGAUGUCUUUAAAGGCAUGCUCACACUCAUCCAUCUAACUAGACAUCUUUGCUCCCUAGAGUUUGCUCAAGAAAGGUCUGAGCUUAUUUAUGAAGCGUGUUAUGAACCAACCUAAGGUGAUUAGACACCCAGUUAGACGUUGCACUUCCUUCUUGCUAGUAGGAGCAGGGAUUUCUAACACUACUUUCACUUGAGCCAGAUCGACUUCAAUACCCCCUUUGAGUCACCAUGAACACAAGAAACUUCCACUCACUUACUCUAAAUGCAUAUUUUAUUGGAUUAAGCUUCAUGUCAUACCUGCACAUUAAACUGAAUGCUUCUUCCAAAUGGAGGAGCUUCUUGGAACGAGUUAUUCUCUUAAUGACAAUGUCAUCGAUAUAGACUUCCAACGUUCGACCUAUCAAGGGCUUAAAAAUAUGGGUCAUCAACUGUUGGUACGUAGCUCCAAUGUUCAUUAACCCAAGCGACAUGAUCUUGUAAAAGUACAACUCCUUAUGUGUAAUAAAUGUCAUCUUCUCUUUGUCAUGUGGAAACAUUGGUAUCUGGUGGUAUCCAAAAGAAGCAUCAAGAAAAGACAACAUUCCAUGCCUGGUUGUGGCAUCGACUAUCUAAUCUAUCUAGAGCAAUGGGAAGCUAUCUUUCAAGCAGACUUCAUUCAUAUCCACGUAGUCUGCGCACACCUGCCAUUUUUCUCCUUUCUUGGUACCACUACCACAUUUGUUAACUAGUCCAAGUAGGUCACCUCCUUGAUAAAUCUUCCUUUUAAUAGCUUCUCAACUUCUAUCUAGAUAAUUUUUUGAUGAUCCAACUAGAAACGUCAGACUUUAUAUUGUAUGGGUCGUGCUGUAGGAAGAAGGUUCAACUUAUGAGAGCUCACCGCUAGGUCUAUUCCAAGCAUUUCCGAAUGAAUCCACACGAGGAUAUCCUUGUUUUUACAAAGCAUUUCACCAACAUUACCACAUUCAUCCCUAGUUAGCAAAAAAUUAGCGUAAGUCAUCUGCUUAUUAUUUUUCGACAAAGAUAGCUAUUGUAAUAGGCUGAUUGCCAAUGAGUCUCUAUCCUCUAGUUUUCCUUCGACCUAAUUCUAUAAUUGUUAUUAGCUCUCUCUUGAUGAUUUGAGUUCAUCUUUAGUUGGGCCUGAACUCCAUCGCCACUUAGUAACACUACUAGGUGGCUAAUUGGAUUCCAUGUGGAUCCACUUACCCAAAUUCUGUCAGGUAGCUCACCAUCUUAUGAUAGGUGGAUGGAAUAACUUUCAUCUUAUGUAGGUACGACAACCUUAUGAUGGUGUUGUACGACGGUAAAUCCUCUACUAUAGAAAAUCAUACGUUGAGAGUAGGCGGGUUGGCUUGGACAAGAAGUACCACGUCGCAUAGUGAUAUUGUGGCAACCCUAUUAAACCCAAACAAAAGUCGAACUAGAUUUUCUAAGGCAGAUGACGAACAUCCCAUUUUCCUGUAGGUUGACAUAUGCAAUAAAUUGGAAUGAUCAUUUUAGGAAGGAUCACUUGAUUAAUGUUAAUUGAAGGGAAAGUGAUUGGGUCAUUGACUGGUCGGGCACUUUCGACAGUAAAUGUGCACUGAACUGCACUUACUCUUUCCCUCCCUGUAGUCGCACAGAGCAUUCGUCUCCUUUGUUGUUUGGAGUGAUAUUUGUCAUCUACUAUUUCCCCAUGGAUAUAGUUAAUCACUACUCGAUGUGUUGUGGGAGAGUCAGGAACUCACUCUGACACUUCACGUGUCAUUUCUUUAUGUCCACCAGUUGCUCAGACAUACAACUUGAGAUGUCCGGUAAUGAUUAGUUUCUCCACCAAGUAGUGCAAAUUUUUGCACUCUUCUGUGGUGUGCCCAUGCUCCUUAUGAUAGAAUCAUCGCAAUCCUCGAUCAUGCUUGGACGAAUCAGUUUUGAUGGGCUCUAGCCACUUGAACUCGAGCAGCUCUCAAAUCAAGAGGAGAAUUCUAUCAUAAAAAAUGGUCAACGGGGUGAGCCUAGGCGAUUAUCAUUGUUGUUGUCUUUCUUGUCCUUGAUUAGUCUAUCUAGACUGGCUUGAGGGCUUUAAGCUCUUAGCCUUCUUUUUUAAUUGCUCGGUUUAUAACCAGGAUUUGUUGAGAGGUUACCUAAACAUCCUCCUCAAGCAUGACAUGUUUGCCCACUCGUCUAAAUAGGUCAUUCAUUGUAGUGGGCAACUUUUUGGCCAUGGACUUGAAGAAUUGAGUGCUUGGACUGAUGAUCCAUUUGAAGAUCUGCAGGAUAGCAUCCAUGUUGUAAGAUUCCAUCUAGAACACCGCUUGUCUGAAUCACUUCAUGAAGUCCCUUAGCGAUUCAUUCUCCUACAUCUGAAUGUUCUAUAAGGUGCUUAUAUUCUGCUUUUGGCGAGCAAAACAUAAAUAAUGGCCCACAAAGGCCUCUAAAACAUCUGUCAUCUGUUGUUGGAAGUGCAUCAGGUGAACAAAAGAGUCACCAUCCCAUAGUAAAUAGUAAAUUUGGGCACCGGAAACCCCUGGGCAGCUCAUAACUAAUGAUAUGUGGGUCAAACGACAUGAAGAGCAUGUCAUCCAAUCAUCUACUUAUGGAGUCAAGAGGGGCUUUUGUCAAUGGGUUAUUUGUCGAUUGUAGUUCUAGUAUUGAACAUUAAGGCAGACGGCUUGGUGAUGCCUCAUCGUUUGAUUGGCCUAAUUGUGCUUUCAAGGCCUCCAAUAUGCAUGGCGAUGCUAGUGUUCUUCUCUCCUGAUACCCAAGAUAGGCUUUCAGGGCAUCUGAGAGACGUAAGCCCCAUUCUUAACCCAUUUUCCAUUUUUCUCCAAUAGAGCUUGCAACCUCUUUCGCUUGAGUUCGAUCGACUACUGAAUGCACUAGUUCAAGUAAUGUUAGCGAACUGCUAGUAGACAAUCCCUCAUCCACUGUUUGUAGAGACGACUUAGUGUAUCAUUGAAGAACUUUCAUUGUUUGGCUUCAAACUACUCUUGAAGUCGUCUAUUGGUUGGAGGUACGAUGACUUUUUUAUCAGCACCCCAUAGCCACUUGUGCUCGUAGCUCUUGGUUCUCUUGCUGUAGUUGUUCUGCCUGUUGGACAGGGACUACAUAGGUUAUUCAUAUUCUUCUUGCUUUUUUUCUAUCUUUCCUUGCCAAGCUUGGAAUCGCUCGUCAACAUUUGCAGAAUGAGUUGCAGGAGGCGUGUUAACCAUCGUGUUUUUUAGGCAUUUGUGGUUGAUUCCCAUAGACAAUGCCAAUGUUGGUGCACGACCAGUAAAAAAAGGUGUUUGGCUAGUCUCCAUGUAACAUAGAUGACGAUUGCACCUGCACAAAGGAAUGUCUGAAUGGGUUUUUCAGGUACACCUUUCCAAAGCUUAGGUCAGAAAUGGAAGACUUAAGCAAGAGUUUUUGUGGAAAAAUUGGUAGCAUACUUUUCUUGUGGUUAAGAAUAACUAUUUAUCUUUGUCCAACUAUAAUAUCUUCUCAGAUGCCUUAAUUGAGCCUUUGAUUGUGCAUUAUCAUCUUUAAUGUCAAUGAUAGCCAACCCAUAAUGGUUGUUGUGUCUUGAUGAACCUUAAAGGUUGGCGUUUUAACCUCAUAAUGAUUGCAUCCAUCAAUGCGUUAAUGCACUAAUUGCCUAUUGCAAUUAAUGCUUGUUGGGCAAGAAUGCAUAGUGCCCGAUUAGAUUGUGUUUGUUUGGUACCCUAAGAGUACCCUGGGGUGGACAAAAAAGCCACAUGGCUCUUGUUCUAACAUGUCUCGACUAGACAGUGUUUGAGGAUCAUGUUAGAUGGUGAUGAGCAUCCCACAGUGAAGACGUAUGAUGAAAGCAAAGGUAGGGCUUCUAAACCAAACGCUUUUAGGGAUUUUUUUUUUUUUUUCAACAAAGUUGACCUCUUCAAGGAAAAAAAAAAAGGUUAAAAAAACUAUUGCUUUUUUGGAUCCAAAUCACCAUUUCCAAUGUGAUAUUUGGAUUUCCACCAUGUAUUUUUUUUUUUUUUAACAGUCAAGGACAUUUUAUGGAUUAUUGAAAGAUAAUAUCUUUCAACUUAAUUUCCUACAUUAAUUAAGUCUUAGGCUCAAAUGUGAAACUUAAGUGGUUGUUAGGCCAUCAAACCCAUCUGCCCUAAAGUAUAAUUUCCCAUUUUCAAAAUAUAUAGUUGUUAAACAUCUAUCCCAAACUAUUGUAACCCUUUGAAGUGCUUGGUAUGUUAACCUUGUUUCCUUUUCCUUAUGCAACAUGGCUAAUUGAUUGUUGCAUUGAAUCAUUAUCAUUCACCAAAUCCAUUCAACUAUGGACUUACCUUUCAAAUCCCUCUAACAAAAAUGGUAAUUCCAAAACAACUCAAGUCUAAUGUUCUCAACUCUUUCAAAUGAUUUAAUUAAUUGGUGUUUGAAUAUACCUCUUAUAUUUUUUUAGAGCAAUUUUUAGGCACAUAACAUAAAUUUCUAAUUUUUUUUUAGAAAAGGUUUUAUAUUUUAUAUUUUAUAUUACAACUUCCCCUUUUUUUUCCAUCUAAAAAACAAAACAUAAAACCUUAAUAACCGAGUUUUGUCACAAACCCUUAACAAAUAAUCUAUUUUCCAAAAAUUACUUUAACAUCUUUAAACAUAUUGAUUUAGUAUACUUUACUUUUAAUAUUUUUUGAAAAAUAUUUUUAUUUUAUAUGAUUAUUAAUUAAUUAAGAUUGAUUGGGUAUGGUAGAAUAUAUAUUCCAAAAUACAUCGUAUUGAGAACAAUAUCACAAGAUAUUAUAUCCAUAUCUUAACAUAUUAUAUACUUUUAUUUUGUGCAAUUAGCAAUUGGACGGAAGGUAGGGAGCCGGCUUAAUGGAAAUGUCGCAUCUCACGUGUGUCCCUUCCCUUACCAAGUCUCAACAAAGGAUGAAAAUAUCGGUAAUCACGGAUAUAUCGGUACUUCGAUUUUACGGAUAUAUUAGAUAUAUCAGAGAUAUAUUGACGGAUAUUUUGGAAAAAAAUAUCGAUAAGCCUAAAAUUGAUCAAAAUUUAUAAAAAUAUAAAAAAAACUUCAUAAAAAUGUAAUUAAAAGAAGGUCGUAUAAGUUACUCAUGUUGAUCAUGUGAUAUAUCACGAGAUAUAAUCGAUUUUUGGGAAUUUCUCACGAAAAUAUCGCGACAUUUCUUCCUUGUCUCGACUGCUCCAAGAUUUCCUAUACGCCCUUCUUCGCUUAGCUCUUAAGUCUUUUCUUCUCCUCUUCCUCAAACCCAUCACAUUUCGCCGCGUGGAGCUAAGUCUCAAGGUCCUUUUGUUCGUACGAUGUAUGUUCCCCCAAUUCCUCAUCUACCUUGAAACUCCAUACUCGCCAUCUACUCAACCACUUCUCUACUCUAGAGUCUGGAUGCUUUAUCUCCGCGAGUGUCGAUGGCUCUUCACCCCAGCGAGUAUGGAAUUACAAGGGCAAUAUCGUCAUUAAAGACACAACAGGCAAACCAAUGGCAUUGUCUUCCUUUUGGUCUAUUUUAUUUAUGCUGUAAGUAUUCGUGCUUGACUUCUCCCGCGUCUCUUAUAAAAACUAAAGAAAACCACUCCAACAGAGCACACUUCAAGAAUCUUCUUUUUUUUUUUCUUUCCUCUUUCUCUUUACAUAUAUACUGAGAAAGCCCAGCUCAUCCCUCAAUUCCCAGAUGGGUUUUAUGAAUGUUCUCAAGUUCUCAGCUGCAUGCUUUGAUAUUCUUGCCUGGUAUGUUGUCCACGCAUUUUCUCGCCAUUGGAAAUUUUUGGAAAAUGAAGUGGAAUUCUCUGUUUGAGGACAAACAUGGGAUUUUCUUUGAUUUCUCCCUGUUGGUUUUAUCUAUAUUCUUUGGAUUACCCACAUUCUUGUCAUUGAUUGUUAGUCAUUUGUUUGGAUUUCUACUUGCAGGCCUCUAUUUGCACUGGGUUAUCCUCUGUAAGUCUUGGUCUUACACCUCAAGAUAUGAUGAUUCAUUUACUCUUUUCUUGUUCUACGAAUAGUUCAGUUACAUUUAUUGUGUUGGGAAACUGAAAAGGGAAAGGAUUAUUCUUUAUUAUCGUAAUAAUCAUCAACAUCAUCUCGGUUCUUCACAGAUGUUCUUCAAUUCGGGCAAUUGAGACUAACUCAAUCUCAGACUUUCGGAAGUUGGUGGCGUAUUGGGUUCUAUUUUCCUUGAUUUCACUCUUUGAUCAUGCUUUUUCCAAGCUCCUUGAAUGGUAAUUUUGCUCAACUGCGUUCCACUAUAUGUGACUCUGUUUGUUUCAUUUCUUUGCCCUUAAGGAAUUUGGAGUUGCUUUUUUCAGUUUUCUUUCCUAUGAAAAUAAUCGAGAUGUUUAAUGUUCCAGGCCUCCAUGUAUUUUAUAUUCCUUCAUUUCUCUGCUUUGACAAAUGCUCACAAUCUGAUCAGCAGAAAGGUUAUAACAUUUGAAAAAGAAGUGGUUUAUUUUUGUUUUUUUUAAGUACAAUAAUUUUCGUUUGGAUAAAUGGUCUGAAGGGUGUUUGUGUUUGGCUGAGUUCAUGGAAUUUUCAAGCUAAUUUGGGAUUUAUUCUCAAUUUCAAGAUCAUUGUGGAUAUGUCAGAAAUUAAUGAAAUAUAAAUGGUGGAAUGUGAUUUUCUUGUUUAAGAAAAGUUUUUCUUUGAAAAUGCGGGUGCACCAGACCUACCUUAUUGNNNNNNNNNNNNNNNNNNNNNNNNNNNNNNNNNNNNNNNNNNNNNNNNNNNAUCAGAUUCAACUGUGAUAGCCCGGAAUUUAAUUCAGUAUUCGACUCUUCUGGGAACAUGUUGGUUAUGGUUUCUCUCUCACUGUCCUCUUCUUUACACAUGACUUUUCAGUUGAGGAGCACAAAGCCUAAUGUUGAAGUGAAAGAGAUCAAAGCACCUGCAGCACCGGAGAAAAAAGGGGAACAGGUAAGUACUCUAAUGUGGCUAUUUAAUUUCUAUGGAGGCAGAUCCCCAGAGAAAUGCUGUUCAUGUAAAUUACUGAUGCAUUUGAUUCAAUGGCCACGGUUUUAAAAGAAAAACCACUUUAUGUAUGUUUCUGUGAAUGAGAGAACAAGUUUAUGGAUUAAAUGAUAUUUUUUAUGGUGAAAUAAUCAAUAAUUUUCAAAAUAAUAAUACAUUCCUGCAUGUUUUUGCAAUUCAUGAAUUCCUUUUAUGAUUGAUUCUUCUCACCUUUUUUCUCACCUCAGUGGAAGUGUGAAGAGCCUAAUGUUGCUCAAAAAGAGAUCCAAGUAGUCAAAGUAACAGAGAUAAAAAAUGGGGGGGAUGGAGCAAAGAGGGUAAGUUUUGCUUUUUAUUUAUAAAGUAGGCUGUCUUCACACAAGGAUUAUUAUUAUUAUUAUUGUUAUUAUUUUAAGACAUGAAUGUUGAAUGAUUUUGGAAUUGUCCUUGAAUCAUGUGAAGUGUGAAUGGUCUAAUGCUGCUAAGGAGGAGGUCAAAGUGACAGAAGUAACACAGAGAACAUUUGGUGGUACAGCACAGUGGGUAAGGUUUCAUGUCAUAUUUAAAUGGCUCCUCAUAUUUCACUAGGAUUAAUUUUGCCCCUACAAACUAUUUGGCUACAAGUUAAGACAGAGUUCCAGAUGCUGAUAAAGCUGAGACAUAAGUAAUGAACGAAUUUAGACACAUGCACAACUCUUGUGUGAAACACAAUGAGAGUGGAAAAUAGCUAAGUUGAAAAAUGGCCAAAUACUAUUUUGUAGUUCCCCCUACCACUUAAGUAAUUUUUGUCAUCCUUUGUGAAUGGAAAAUGCAGUCCCUUCAGUAAUUCCAUUAUAUUCAUGACUUGGUGAAGCAUAUAACCAUUAGUGUCUUACCCUAAGUCGACCUUUAAUGAUGAUCCAUUGAGAUGGGUCUGACUUUUGUCAACCCUCUUAUUCCCUUGAUCAUAGAGGUGAAACUUAGGGGGCUUAACCCACUUUUCAAUCUUAUUGGAUAUAUGGCACGUGGUAUCCUCUUCAUCUUGAAAGAGUGAAGUGGUCAUACUCUUUCCUCUGAGUCCAUUGUGGCCAUGCACUUCAGGCUCAUUGGGCUGAGUGAAAGGAUUCCCUUCUGCUUCAAAUCAUAGAGAGAUAUGCCAUGGUCAGCCUCUUUAAUUCAAGGGAUUGAAGUACUCAAAUCCAUUUCUCUGUAUCCAUCUUAGUUCUGCAUUCAUGUCUCAUGGUUAACCAAGAAGAUCCAGCCUCCAUCCAUGAGAUCAGCAUCUGCAGGUUUAUGACACCACCCUUCCUUUGCAUAGGAAAGGGAUCAUUAAGCCAUGUGUCGGAUGACAGAAGUCAUCAUUCAGGUUAUCUUGAGAACUAAGGAAGUUGGAAUUCUAAUUAUUGCAUAUGGUUCUUGAUGUUUAGCCAAUAUACUAUAGGAUUUUAAGCAUCAUGCUCACGUGCAUUGUGGUUGCUUAUCAGCUAUAUGGUUUGCCAAAAUGAGGGACUGAUUAUGGUCAUAAGUACCUUUUUCCCAUUAAUUUCUUGCAUGUGCUCUGCUGAGAUUAUGUUUUUGACAGUCCAAAUCAGGGCAAACCAACAAACAGCUUUAUGUUAACUUUUACAAACUGCCAUAUUUUCAGGUUAAACAAACAGAGAUAAAUCUUGGUGAAACUAGAAGUAAUACAACCUGUGCUGUGGAGAUAAAAGAAAGGGCAGCAGCACUGGUGGCUGCAGAAAUUGAGGCAUGUAGAGACGAUAGAACCCCCAAGAUACCUCUUCAUGAGAAAGUCCAGAAAGAGUGGGCUUGUGCUGUGUGCCAGUUCACAACCCAAACUGAAGCGACCUUCAAUUCCCACCUUCAAGGGAAGAGACAUCAGGCCAUUUCUGAGCAGCUGAGAGCCAAAAAUCAGGCAACCAAAACCAAUUGUUCCCCAUCUGCUUCAAUGGCCAAGAAAUCUGAUCAGUCCACCAAAGAGGAGCAACCGAAGUGUACUUCCAAUCUGAAUUCCAAAAACAAUGGAAUCUCAGCUGCUUCAACAGUGAAGAAACUUGAUGAGACCAAAGAUGAUGAGCAACAAAAGUCUGCAUCUAGCAAUGGACCGAACCAGAAGAAUAACAAAAAGCAAGAGGUACAGACCAAUGAGCAAGGCCGUCAGAAGAACUUAAGGCAAACUGGUGAUGGAAUGAAAGAGUUGAGAUCAUGGUGCAAUAUCUGUAAUGUAAGCUGCACAAGGGAGCUUGACCUGGCCUCGCAUCUCAAUGGAAGGAGGCACUUUGAUAGGAUAAAGCAGCUGUCUGAAUUAUGGUGCAGUAACUGCAAUGUAAGGUGCAACAGUGAGGUUGAUAUGGCCUCUCACCGAAAUGGGAGGAGGCACUUGGAGCAGCUGAAGGAACGGUUAGGAUUAUGGUGCAGUAUCUGUAGUGUGAGUUGCAACAGCAAGGUGGACAUGGAUUCUCACCUAAAUGGGAAGAUUCACUUGGAUCAGAUCAAGGACCAGUUAAGAUUAUGGUGUGGGGCAUGUAAUACAACCUGCAAGAGUGAGCGCAACAUGGCCUUUCAUCUGAAUGGGAGGAAGCACUUAGAGAAGAAGGGGAAUACCUGAUUUGCAUGUUUCUUCAGAUUAUUGAUACUUACAAAUGGUUUUAGUUAGAAGCAUACAGGCCAGUGGGUGGUGGUCACAGAUGCCUCUAUUUUGUUGUAUGAAGUAAAAACAGUAUUUCCAUGUCCAGAAAUCAACCACUUGUUUAGUGCAUGCAUGGCUGGUUCAAAAUUAAAC
This 78867-nucleotide long non-coding RNA is filed under the name Vitis vinifera (wine grape). RNAcentral describes it as "long non-coding RNA (VVIN_LNC000787)". The record is from RNAcentral. Lineage: Eukaryota; Viridiplantae; Streptophyta; Magnoliopsida; Vitales; Vitaceae.